GGGCCAACCAACCACAGACUGAAAACUCUAAAACUGUGAGUCAUUAUAAACCUUUUCUCUUUUUAAGUCAAUCAUUUCAUGUAUUUUGUUACAGUAAUGGAAAGGUGACUAAUACAGUAUGUGUGUGUGUGGUAUAAUAUAAUCAUCUAACUUCCCUUUUUAUUUUCAGAAGCAAUUGCAAAAUUUAAAUAGCCUGAUUAACUGCCUAUUUUAAAAAAAUAUUUAAACCAGCAGAUGACUAUUUCUGCAAUGUUUAAUAAUUCUUGGGGUAUUGUUAAUCUUAAAUGUUUUGGUAGUCAAGUUAGAAAAAGGUUGAUUACAAACUCUUCCAUCAGUACAUGGGUCUAUGCAGGAGGCUCUGGUUGUGUCCUAUACAUUUAAAAUGAGUGAACUGACCUAAGGAUGAAGAGCAAUAAAUUUAUCAUAAUUUAAUUUAGAUUAAUGAUAGUUUCAGUAUAAAAACUUCACCUUGAAUUAGGUGAAACAUUGAAUCCACUGAUUAUGUUAACAUAAUUGACUGUUAAGCAUGAAAACCAGCAUUUCUAAGUAUAAAAUCUUGGGCUAGAGAGGAUGUAGGGUCAGAGCAGGUAUUUUUUUCAGAUAAGAUUAUAAAUGUACAUGUUAUAUGUGAAUUUAUUUAAAAUCUGAAAUCUUACAGAGCUGCUCUUUUAUGUCAUCAUAUUAUUUCCACAUUGGUACAGCUUGAUUCCCUUAUACCCAUCCCAACUUUUAAAAUCUAUUCAAAUGUCCCACUUCUAUCCCACAUAGGCACUAAUUACAUAUUUAUUUUGUAGUGACAAUUAGAAACAUUUUCUUUAGCAUAAAAAGAACAUCUUAAAUUUCACUUAGAAAUUCAAAGUACAUGAUUCCUGUAGCUAUAAAUAAUCGACAUACAUAUAUCAGAUACAUACAUGUAUCUGAUAAUGGUAAAUAAUUUCCCCCCUAGUUGCUCUUAAAUCCUUAGGGGUCUGUAGGCUGCUGUAUAAAUUGUCUGAGGAGGGUAAGGUGAAUUUCUAAAAACGUAAAGACAUAGAAAAUUGUAGCCACUGGUUUCUGUGUGAUAGAGACAGAAACUGGUCCUUGGUUGUCCUUGUGGCAUUUUAAACAAGCAAAAAAAAAAAAAGCUAACCUGUCUAUAAAGAAACUGUGUUUUAUAAGUUUUAUGAUUAAAUCCACCACUGCUUUGCUGACUAAUAAAAUGGAAAAUGUGUGCUUUUAUAGGUUUAUAAAAAGGCAAACUAUAGUUUCAUGAAAAAUAUCUUGGACCGAUUGAAUACAGGUGGCUACUUGUUUAGACUUUGAAGAUGUAAAAGCUUAGUAUAGAUGUCUGAAAAAGGUAAUAUGGCACAAUAAAAAAAUCUUCCUUUCUUGGCUCAUCAAUCCUUUGGGUAUUCCAUGUCAAAUAAACGCUACAACAAUUUAUAGUAAAAGUACACAGUGGAAGUGCCAACGUUAACACUCCUUAGGACUGGAUACCUGCCAGAUUUUUCACACCAAUAUUUAAUGUGAACCGAAACGUCUUUUCCAUUGGAAGUGUGAGAAGGAGCUUGCUUUCCUAUAUUUGGCAACGCGCUUAUGUGAAGUAUAAAGUCAAAUGCCCGUGAUGUUCUCUUUAUUUCAACUAUGAUAAAUUGUGUUCAUUUGUUUAAGUGCAUGUGGCAGCUUUAGUGUUCCAACUAUAAAUUUUGGUUAACUUCUAUUGACAUGCUGUAUUAAACUUAAGAAAAACAAAUUACACUUCACCGGUUUUAAUUGACUAAAUGUGUCAAAAACACAGUAAGUAUAACAUGAGAGGUCAGAGCCUUCGUCUACACUGUAAUGGGUGUCAUGGCAGGGAUCCAACUUUUCUUGUACAUUUCAUUUUUCAUGAAGUUUCAGGACAAGGCAUACGUUUAACAUUCACUUCCACUUCUCAUUUGUACUUCAAAGUUUAUCAUAGGCUGUGUUACUACCAAGAACACUUUUCUCUUGGGCUAUUUAAAGUUCCCUUCGCACUGACGUGUGUGCCCAGAGAAUACUGAUGUUCUCCUGUAAACAAGGCCCUGGGAAUGGAUUUUGGCAUCGUGAGGAAUGAAAUGCUGAUGUAUAAGCACACCCGUAGAUCACUGGAGCACUCCUUGGAAAAGACCUGGUUUACGUAUCUAGUCUCUUCUUCCACAACUGGACAAGCAGCCACGUGCUGAGGAGCUGGAUUAAACUUGGCACAAACACUUCCUUUGGGAUCUUAUUAAAGUUACCAGUUUUAAUUCUUGGGCUCUAUGUCCAGUGGGUUGCACACAUUCAUAUUCCUUCAGCUAUUUAUUACCUUCAUAUUUGAGGAUUACAUAUUGUUCAUUAAGCUCUUACUCUUCUUCGGCCUCUCACUUCUCUCUUCUUCCAGCGUUAUCUCCUGGUGUGGUUAUAUUUGGAUCUAUCUUCUCAAAAAUUAGCUCCAUUUUCAAGAGCUGAAACAUUAGUUUCCCGUGUGAAUCUAUGUCUGGAAAAACUCGAAAUAGAGCAGGUGUUUGCAAAAGUGUUAUGUUUUAUAUUGGAGAAAACAGGAAUCAUAAAUUUUAAAAGUUUAUUCUAUUUUCCUCACCAAUAAGAAUCUGAUUCCUUAGCACAUACUUUGCCAGCAAGAAACUAGAGUUGAGGGUCUGUCAAUAUUUUUUCUGCUCUGAUGGACUGAAGGGAGGGAAGAUUAAAAGUCAUCCUUACCCAAUAAGCCUAGAGAUUCUUCUUCUUUUUUUAAAAAUAUUUAGUUGUAGGUGGAUACAAUACCUUUAUUUUAUUUAUUUAUGUGGUGCUGAGGCUUGAACCCAGUGCCCCACGCAUGUGAGGCAAGUGCUCUACCACUGAGCCACAAUCCCAGUCCCAAGCCCAGAGAUUCUUGAUGGCACCAAAUGGGAGGGGGUUGAUUUUCCUUGAAGGAAGAGUGAGACCAUCCCACCUUUCCCACACCCUAGGGAAGCUUUCACAUCAUGAAGAUAAUGAAGCUGCCUCUAAAUUAUGGGUCUAUAAAGGGCCAGAUUAAAAAAAAAAAAACUUUCAGGUCUUGAGGUCCAGAUGGUCUCUGUCAUGGUUACUCAACUCUGUCAUCGACAACACGAGUCAUCCGCAUUGUGUAAACGAAUGAAUGUGGCUGUGUUCCCAUAAAUUUAUGGACAAUGAAAUUUGAAUGUCAUAUAAAUUUCAUGUGUCAUGAAAUAGUCUUCUUUUGAUUUUUUUUCCCCCAACUAUUUAAAAAUGUAAACACCAUUCUUGGCUUGGGGCGGUAUGAAAGCAGUUGGCAGGAUGGAUUAGAUCUGAGGGCUGUAGGUUGCUAAGCUCUGCUCUAAAACUAAUAUAUUAUUUCUAAAAGGUCCAAAAAUUUAAAGUAGUUUUAUUUUGAAAACAAUGUUAUCCUUUUUUUUCUCUCAUGCAGCACACAUUUAAUUGCGGUUUCUUUUCCUUCUGUCAUGUUUUGGUCAGAUCAUAACUCUGUCUGCAUUUGGUAUCCAAUCUUAUGAGAAUCAGGUGCAGUAAACACCGUUUCUGUCCUGCCCAUAUCUGCGUGCACUCUCCUGCUUCCUGCAUCAGACAUGAGAGACUCUGCAGAGGAUUUUUUUUCGUCCACUGGAGUGCUUUUAACCUGUGGGUAGUGCAUGCUGGAGGUACUGUGGCGUUAGGUCUUUUAGAAGCGGCCCUUGGUCAAUGACAGAUAGGACUGGAGGGUAACUAUCUCUGGGUUGGGAUAUCUCUGAGGCAUAUUCUACACUGUGAAUACGUAGUGAGACUGGGACUCCAGUUACCCACAGCUAUAACCUACCCCCCAACGUACGCUUUAAUGGCCUUUACUCUUCCAUUUCCCUUCCUUGCUUUGCUGUGGGUGCUUCCUUCCUACGCUAACACUUGAUUGCUAGAUCUCGAAAAAUCUCAGUCUUUAAUGCAAAAUGAGCCUGUUGUAAAUAACGAAGCCUGCUGUAUAAGUUGUAAGCUUUAGAUCCUGGAUUUCUCUUCUUAUAUUAGGCAGCAUUUGCCACCUCUCCUUCGAGUACAGGAGGAUUUUUUUUUCUUCCUAUUUUUUUUUUCCAGAUAAAAGUAAGGUUUCACAGCUCUUGGCACUCUGCAUGAUUGUGACCAAGGAGCAUUCCAGAAAGAGGUGCUAUAUCUCCAUCUAGGUCAUAAUACUAUUGCUGGGCCCUACACAGCAUGACACCCAACACAAGAAAAUAAUUCCACAGGGACAUUCUGCUCUAUUUCCUCUCUAUGUCCAUCCUAUGAACCUGUCAAAGGAUAUCUUUUUGUUUUCUGCUUUUAUUGGUGCAUUGUAGUUGUCCAUAAUACUUGGGUUCAUUUUGACGUAAUAAAGUAUGCAUGGAAUUUAAUUUGUUCCAUUUCAGUCCCCAGUGCCACUUUUUUCUCCCCCUCCUCCUUCUCCCUAUUCUCCUUCUUCUAUUCUACUGGUCUAAUGUCCAUUCAUUUAUACAUUUUAAUUGGUAUUUUGUACAGAUACACAUAAAGGUGAAAUUUACUGUGAUAUAUUUAUACACAUUUAUGCAUAUCUUCAAGACAACUCACUUUUUCUUUUCCACUGUGAAGUAUAGAAUUUGAAUGCAUUAAAAUAUUAUGUCUUCUUCUCCUCCUCCUCCUCUUCCUCUUUCUCCUCCUCCUCUUCCUCCUUCUUCUCCUCCUCUUCCUCCUCCUCCUCCUCUCCCCCCCCCCCCCCACCUGCAUUUUGGUAUCAGGGAUUGAACCCAGAGCAUUUAACCAAUGAGCCACAUCCCCAGACAUUUUUAUAUUUUAUUUAGAGACAGGGUCUUACUGAGUUCAGGACCUCACUAAGUUGCUGAAGCUGGCUCCUGCCUCAGCCUCCCCAGCCAAUGGGAUUAUAGAUGUGUAUCACCGUGCCUGCCUAAUGUGAUCUCUGACAACCAAAUCUUUGAUUAAUUUCACUGUGCAUCUAGUGUACUGUAGAUUUUCUUAUGGUCCCUUUUACUCUGGUCUGUCUGUUUACUUUUUUCCCCCCAAGCCACUUGUGUUUUAUGGUCCAGAAUAAAGUUAUUCCAGAAAACAAAGACACCCAUUUUUGCAGGGAACAGUCUUAGAAAUCAGUUAAGUUUUUCCUUGGUUACACUCUAUCCCUACAUCCUCCUCUCAUUAGCUGGAAGUUUAGGCAUACUUUUCUCAUAUUUUCCCAUGGGCUCCUGUUUUUGAAAAGUCUAACCCCUUCACUGCUUGUAAUGUAACUGGAAAUGGAAUAGGAGUGACUGGAAGCCUUUUUAGGGUAAAAUUUUAUAUAAGAUGGAUAAAAGCAAAGGAGAAACACUAUAAUCCUUUUUAUAGCCACAAAAGGGGUGGCCACAAUGGUGGAACAAGACACCUGAGACUGGCGGAUGCUGAGUAGAUCAGAAAGAAGGCUAUACAUACAGGAUGCCAGAUUGACAAAAAAGUAAAUUUGUGUAUCAUCCAAAAGUUUGUAUUUUUCUUAGAAGAGCUUCUAUGACUUCAAAUGGAAUUGCCAGAUUUUAAGGAAUGCAGAUAUGAGUAUAUCAUUAUCACCACAUUAACUCCCAAUCUCCAUGAAAUGUUUAAUCAACAUUUACUUGGAUGGAGCAUGUUGUAUGUAGGUAGUUUGGCUUGGACAGUGAUGUGAAAGGCCAAGGUAAGAACAAGGAAGACCUGAGGUGGUCCAGAAAUGGCACUUUUAUAGGCUAUACUUACCUACUUCAAAAUGAAAUAGAUGCAGUCACAUAGUUUUAUAACUUGACUUUGAACUUACAUGGAAUUAAUGAGGCCAGUUUUGUCCAGCAGUUGAUCUAGAUAAUUCAGGAAGGAAAAGCCCAGUUAAAAACAGUCCAACAUUGAUGAAAGGUAUUAGAUGAAAUCCUCUCAUUUAACGUUAUCAUAGAUAUGAAUUUGGAUAGAUUAAUGGAUUUUCCUAGUUCAUUGUGUAUGUAAACCCUGUGUAGGAGGCUAAAGGCACCCCAACAAGUAGGUUGCAGUCUCUGGCUUAAGCAACCUAUCGUCUCCUGACUUCACGAAGAGCAUCAAAAUCUGUACAGGAAAGUCCAUCACUUUAUGUUGAUGGAUUCUGGCCUUCUACUGUAAUGUGGAAAGCCUAUGGGUGAUCUUGACUUUGCCCAGGUCACAGAUUUAUAUUGACUUAUCCAUUCAUUCCCUUAUUCACUCAUCACUCACUCAUUCACUCAAUAUUUUUUUGGUCACAUACCUUGUGCUAGAUACUGUGUUCACUGUUUCAGAUGCCCUCAUGGAGCUUACUAUCUUAUCUUAAAGAUGAAACAACACAGAUUUAAGCAUACAUUUAAAAAUCCUAGCAAUCCAGGAUUUGUUAAGAUUGAACGAUAGCAUUAUUGAGUUUUAAAACAAACUGUAUUUGGAAGUGAAAUCAUGGCAGGUUACAGUCUUUGCUGACAGCGUAUCACAACCGUUAUAUGAAGACAGGACAUCUUCCAUAUAUCAAAAUUCACCCCAGUGAAUUUCCAGAUUUUCUUCUGGUCCUUUGAAUAAUUCCUCAGAUAAAGCCUUUUACAUUAUGGAUGGAUGUCCACCACCACACGAUCACUGCCUAUCUCACUUCAUCAUUUCUUGGGAUUCUCAGCUGCACUUCAUCAUAUAUCAUCGCCUUCGAACCUGCUCUGGUCACUCCAUCUCACACUUCAUCACUUCUUGUAUUCUUUGUGAGCUUUCAGUUCUGUUACAGAGUCUGUCACUGCUCUCCACUCAUUCAUUAUUUCCAAUUCAAAUACAAAUUCAUCAAACUACUGAUAUCUAGAAUAGUUCUUAGUUCAUCAAAAUAGGGACUGCCCGGUUGUUUAUUAUCAAAAAGGAGCAAUUUAUAUGGUAAGAUAUGGUCCAGAAAGUAUUAUACAGUGUUACAGAGUUGCUAGACAUUAUUCCACUCUAUAUUGAUUCUACAAACCUGAGCAGGCAACUUAUGACUAGGCCCCUGUCUUAACUGUAUGGAUUUUUCAAGAGAUAGGUAGUGUGACAUUGACAUUUGUAAGUAAGUGACUGGGAGUGCAUCUAAAUGCAAAAAUACUAAAUAAAAUGUUAGCAAAUAAUUAAACUAAAAAGGAGUCAAGAUAUCUCCUGAAUGCCCUGUUGAGAUGUCAGCAUCAUGAGUUGGUUCACAUAGCUCUUGGUGGUGUUAGCUUCAGUGGGCUGUUAGUUUGAACACAUUUCAAAUUGGUGAAUGGCAUUUUUUCCCCUCACCUUCUUUACCCUACAUAGCUAAGUCCUUUCUUUUAUUCUGAUUGACCAAUCCAGACUGCAUGUUUGUGACAACUAGGAUGAUCUGAAAGAAAUUUUAUAUCUAGAAUUAAAAGCACUAUUGUUAUAUGGAUUACUGUUAUCUUAAGUAGAAUUUUCUGAGUGAAUUAUUUCUUCAAGUUUUUGAAUGCAAAUUUGCCACAAUGUAGGCUUCUGCAUAUGGAAGUGGUCAUAGAAAAUGUAAUAUUUUUAUUCAUGGCCAUUUAGAUUCUCAUCUACUACUCUAUGUGAUUUUCCAUCCUUUGAUGAUAUGAUCUCAAAUUGCCCAAGUAGCUUUGCCAUUACUCCUUGCCUACUCGUAUCAAAGGUUGUACAUUUUAAAGUUCAACAGCCACAAAAAUGUUACUGUGAUGCUUUCUGUCUGCCAUUGAGUUUCAGUGUGGUUUUACAGGGCAUGUAGGAGACAGCAAUUUCAAGAUACAAAGUGAAAGAAUCUCCUGGUUAUCUCAUUUUAACAAUCCUGUAAAGAUGUAUUCAUAGACAUGUGGUACCAUUGGUUGCUAUGACUAACAUUAUUUAAUUAGUGUUGACUCAAAUUUAUACUAUUAAAGAGGGGGAAAUGCUUAUCCAAGAUACUUUUAUUGUUAUUUGGGAUAGUAUUUAUUAUUUAGAAUAUUAUUUCAGCUUAAAAAAAUCAAGCUCCAGCAAAUUUAGGAUUGCAAGCCUUCACUAAGCCCUCCAGAGAUCUUUCAUUAUCGUCAAGGUACUAAAUCAUGACAGAUAGGUGUAUGUGGUCAAUCUUUAUUGCUCUUCAGUCUGUGGAAUUUAAGACUUUGUUUAUUCAGACAAUGAAGAGAAAGCCUGUCCUUUACAGAACUCCAUAAAAAUUUACAGAGAAAAAAAAUUAAAAAAAAACAAGACAAUACAUUUCAUUUACUUUAAUAAAUGCCUAAAAUUGUAACUGGUUUGCACUAUGAUGUCCUUUGGCAUUUCAUAUGAUGGUUUGUAACUUAAGGCAUUAAAGCCAAAACACAAAUGGAUUGAUGAGUUUUGACUGAUUUCAGAAACUGAUCUUUGUAAUUUAAUUUUUGAAAUCCAAGAAAAUUAAUGUUAAAGUUUAUAGGAUAAGACGAUAUGAUGCUAUAUUAUCAACUCUCUAUAUAAGUAUUCUUAGACUUAUCUUCUCAGACUCAGAACUGUAUGGAUUUUUUCAAGAGAUAGGUAGUGUGACAUUGACUUUUAUAAGUAAGUGACUGGGAGUGCAUCUAAAUGCAAAAAUACUAAAUAAAAUAUUAGCAAAUCAUGUUCAACAACAUUAGGAAGAUUUUACACUAUGACCAAGUUGAUUUUAUUUCAGAGACAUAAGAAUAGUUUAACAUAUGCAACUCAAAAAAUGCCAAUUCAUCAUAUAAAUAGACUUAAGGACAAAAAUUAUUUAGUCAGCUCAAUAGAUUCAGAGAGGGCCAUUGAAAAAAUUCAGCACUCAUUCACUGUAAAAACACUGAAGAAACUAGUGGAAGGAACCUACCUCAAUAUCAUACAGGCCAUAUAUGAAAAAUCCAAAGCCAACCUUAGUAAAUGGGAAAAAACUAAAAGGAUUUAAAAAAAUCUGGGCCAAGGAUAUGCAUUCUCACCUUAUUAUUUCAUAUGCUGCUAGAAAUGAGAGCCAGAUAAAUUAGGCAAAAGAAGGAAAUAAAAGGGAUAGAAUAAGAAAGGAAGAAAUGGAAGAAAUCAAAUCAUCACUGUUUGCAGAUAAUAUGAUCCUUUACCUAGAAGGUCCAAAAACUUCACAAAAAGACUGCUAGAGCUAACAAACAAAUUUUGCAAAGUAGCAGUUUACAAAAUCAACAAAGAUUAAUAUCUUUCCUAUAUAUCAACAAUGAAUCUGCUGAGAAAGAAAUCAGAAAAAUUUCAUUCACAAUAGCCUCAAAAAACAAAUACACAACAGGCUAGUAGACAAUGGUACAGAAUAGAGGACACAGAGCUAACCCACAAAAUUACAACUACCUUAUAUUAGACAAAGGUGCUAAAAGCAUGCACUGGAGGAAGGAUAGCAUCUUCAACAAAUGGUGCCGGGAAAACUGGAGAUCCAUAUGCAACAAAAUGAAAUUGAAUCCCUAUCUUUCACCAUGCACAAAAGUUAACUCAAAAUGGAUCAAGAAUCUAGGGAGUAAACCAGAGACUUUGCAUCUAAUAGAAGAAAAAGUAGGCCCUAAUCUCCAUCAUGUGGGGCUAGGCCGAAACUUCCUUAAUAAGAUGCCUAUAGCACAAGAAUUAAAACCAAGAAUCAACACAUGGGAUGGAUUCAAACUAAAUAGUUUUUUUCUCAGCAAAAGAAAUAAUAUGUGAGGUGAAUAGGGAGCCUACAUCCUGGGAACAAAUUUUUACCCCUCACACAUCAGAUAGAGCUCUAAUCUCUAGGGUAUAUAAAGAGCUGAACAAGUUAAGCACUCAAACAACAAAUAAUUCAAUCAAUAAAUGGGCCAACAACCUGAACAGACACUUCUCAGAAGAGGAUAUACAAUCAAUCAACAAAUACAUGAAAAAAUGCUCACCAUCUCUAGCAGUCAGAGAAAUGCAAAUUAAAAGUACUCUCAGAUACCAUCUCACUCCAGUAAGAGUGGCAGCCAUUAUGAAGAAAAACAAGUGCUGGAGAGGAUGCAGGGGAAAAAGGUACACUCAUACACUGCUGGUGGGACUGCAAAAUGGUGCAGCCAAUUUAGAAAGCAGUAUGGAGAUUCCUUAGAAAACUGGGAAUGGAACCACCACUUGACCCAGCUAUUCCUCUUCUCAGACUACACCCAAAGGACUUAAAAACAGCAUAUUACAUGGACACAGCCACAUUAAUGUUUAUAGCCGCACAAUUCACAAUAGCUAAACUGUGGAGCCAACCUAGAUGUCCUUCAGUGGCGAAUGGAUAAAAAAAAUGUGGCAUUUAUACACAAUGGAAUAUUACUCAGCAAUAAAAAGAAUAAGGUCAUGGCAUUUGCAGGGAAAUGGAUGGCAUUAGAGAAGAUUAUGCUAAGUGAAGUUAGCCAAUCCCAAAAAAACAAAUGCUGAAUGUCUUUUCUGAUAUAAGGGGGGUGACUCAAAAUGGGGUUGGGAGGGAGAACAAGGGAGGAAGAUUACCUCUAGAUAGGGAAUAGGAGAAGGGGAAUAGCAUGGGUGGUGAAAGGAGACUCUCAUCAUUAUACAAAAUACAUGUAUGAAGAUGUGAAAUAGUGUCAACAUACCUUAUAUAUAAUCAGAGAUAUGAUAAAUUAUUGUAUAAUGGUAUAUUAAGAAUUGUAAUGCAAAAUAAAUAAAUAAAAUCAUUAAAAAAACAAAUACACAAAAUACCUAGGAAUAAAUCUAACCAAGGAGGUGAAAGACCUCUAUAAUGAAAACUGUACAACAUUGAAGAAAGAAACUGAAGACCUUAGAAGAUGCAAAGACUGACCAUGUUCAUGGAUAGGCAGAAUUAAUAUUGUUAAAGUGGCCAUAUUACCAAAAGCAAUAUACAAUGUAAUUCCUACCAAAAUACCAAUUACAUUCUUCACAGAAUCAGAAAAAAAUAGUCAAAAUGUAUUUGAAAGAGUGAAAGACCCAUAAUAGCAAGUAAUUCUAAGCCCAAAAGAAAGCAAUCCUGGAAGUGUCAACAUCCCUGACUUCAAAUUAUGCUACAGAGCUAUAAUAACAAAAACUGUAUGGUAUUAGCAUAAACACAGACCCAUAGACCAAUGGUAGAGAAUAGAAGACACAGAGACAAACUGACCCAGAUACAGUCAUCUGAUCCUUGACAAAGGAACCAAAAACAUACAUUGGAGAAAAUACAGCCUUUCAAACAAAUAGUGCUGGGAAAACUGGUUAUCCAUAUAUAGAAGAAUGAUACUUACUAGACCCUUAUAUCUCACCCUGCACAAAAGUCGACUCAAAAUGGAACAAUGACUUAGGAGUUAGACCAGAAAAUAUAGGGUCAACCCUUAGUAUAUAGUCACAGGCAAUGACUUUCUCAAUAAGACCCCUAAAGCUCAGGAAAUAACUGCAAAAGUUAACAAAAGAGAUGGCAUCAAAUCAAAAAAGCUUCUGCACAGCAAAGGAAACAAUUAAGAAUGUGAAGAGAGAACCUACAGAAUAGGAAAAAACCUUUGCUAGCUACUCUUCUGACAGAGGAUUAAUUUUUAGAAUAAACAAAAACUCAAAACUUUACAUCAAAAACUCCACCCAAUGAACCCAAAUUAAUUAAAUGAAUUAAACAGAUACUUCUUAAAAGAAGAAAUACAAAUGGCCAACACAUAUACGAAGGAAAUGUUCAACAUCAUUAGCAAUGAGGAAAAUGAAAAUCAAAACUACACUGAAUCAGAAUGGCAGUCAUUAGGAUUACAAACAAUAAUAAAUGCUGGAGAACAAGGAACACUUUUACACUGUUGUGAGACUGAUAAUCAGUGCAACCACUAUGGAAAGCUAUAUAAAGUUUCCCCAGAAGACUAGGAAUGCAAUCACCACGUGACUCAGAUUUAUCACUCCUCAGUAUCUAUCCUAAAGAAUUGAAGUCAUCAUACUACAGUGAUAUAUGCAUAUCCAAUGUUUAUAGCAGCACAAUUCACAAUAGCCAAACUAUGGAACCAGCCAAGGUGUCCAUCGAUGAAUGAAUGGAUGAAGAAAAUGUGGUAUAGAAACACAAUGGAGUUUUAAUUCAGCCAUAAUGAAUAAAAUGAAAUUAUGUCAUUUGCAGGAAAAUGGAUGGAACUAGAGACCAUCAUGUUAAGCAAAAUAAGUCAAAAUCAGAAGGUCAAGGAGUGUAUGUUUUCUCUCAUAUGCAGAAGCUAGAGAGGAAAAAGAAAAAGAAAGGCAGGGGUGGACUUCACGGAAAUCAAAGGGAGAUCAGUACAGAAAAGGGACCAAGAGAGCGGGGGAAGUGCUGGGGAGUGAUAGUGUUGCUGGAUUUUGUGCAUGUACGAUUAGGUGACAACAGAUCCCAUCAUUAUGAACAACUGUAUGCACCGAUUAAAAAAAAAAGUAGAAAAAAUAAGUGACUGAUGGGGCAAACUGUAUGCAGACAGAAAACUUACCUUAUGGUUGACUUCAGAUAGCAAAGGUGGGAUGACUUGAACAAUGAAUUUUAAAAGACCCACACCAGUUAAUAAAAGCAUUGUGCCUGUUAAAAGGGUGCCCAAAGAAUCAUCUAUACUGUGUUUAUUCCAGAUCCCAAGUCUGGACUUACCAUUUUGAAAAUACCUAGGUCAGAUCUUAUAUAGCAUUUUAGAUAAUACUAAGUAGUUUGCAUUUGUUAUUUAUUUUUAGUUUAAAAUAUUCACAUUGAAUUUUUAUCAUGUAUGACAUGUUUUGAAGCAUAUAACAUUGUGGAAUGCUUAAAUGUAGCGACUAACAAAUACGUUACCUCACAUAGUUAUCAUUUUUGUACUGAAAUUACAUAACAUUUACUCUUUACAUUUUUCAAGAAUAUGUCUUGAUUAGUUAUAGUCACCUUGCUAUACAAUAGAUCUCUUGAAAUUUAUUCCUCGUAUCCAACAGUAAUUAGCUAUUCCUUGAUCAACCUUUCCCCAUCUUCUCACCCCUUAUCUACCCCAGAGUCUGGAAAUUAUGCUUCUGCUUUCUACUUCUAUGAUAUGAACUUUUAAACUUUCUUUGUAUGUGUGAGAUCAUACAGUAUUUGUCUUCUGUCCUUGGCUUAUUUCUUUUUUUAAUUUUAAAUUUAUUUAUUUAUUCUAACUUGUUAUACAUGACAGCAGAAUGCAUUUCAAUUCAUAGUACACAUAUGGAGCCCGAUUUUAUAUUCCUCUGGUUCCAUAGUUUGGCUCUUGUGGAUUGUGCUGCUAUAAACAUUGGAUAUACAUGUAAACUGUAGUAUGAUGACUUCAGUUCUUUAGGGUAAAUACUGAGGAGAGAUAAAUCUGAGUCAUAUGGUGAUUCCAUUCCUAGUCUUCUGAGGAAACUUUAUACAGAUUUCCAUAGUGGUUGCACUGAUUAACAGUCUCACAACAGUGUAAAAGUGUUCCUUGUUCUCCACAUCCUCUCCAGCAUUUAUUAUUGUUUGUAAUCCUAAUGACUGCCAUCCUGAUUGGUGUGAGAUGAAAUCUCAUUGUGAACAGUUUUUGUAGAGUGGCAGAGAGGGAAACAAUUUUCAGCAAGUGAAGAAGAAAGUAGGAGGCAAUGCCAAGUCUUAAGAAUUUGAAUGUGAAGGUCAGAGGAAGCUGGAGAGUUUGCUCAAGAGAGGUGCAGGGUUGUGGAGGGGCUUCCUUUUUCACAUGGGGCUUCCUUUUUACAAAGGAAAAUAGGACUUGAAGAAAAUUCCAUCUAAAUGACAUGUUUUCUAUGCUAAGAAGAUGGUAAGAUAAAGAUGAUAAAGAUGAAGUUUGAAAACUGAGUUUAAGGAAUCUUUUUUUUUCUUUUAUGAACAGGAAUAUUUAAUCUCUAUUCCAAUAGCAACUACUGAUUGUAGGACAAAUUUGAAUGAAUUGGAUGAAGGGAAAAUUCAUUUCAUUAACCUUUCAUAUGAAUGUAUUAUUUUUUUAUUUUAUUUUUUUUUAAUUUUAAUUUUAAUUUUUUUAGUCAUACAUGACAGCAGAAUGUAUUUUGACAUAUAAUACAUACAUGGAACGUACAUACAUCAAUCAUAUUGUCUGUUCUAUUCUGCUGCCCUUCCUAUCCUGCCUACUCCUCCCCUCCUCUCCCAUCCUUUCUCUCUAUCCAAUCUAAUGUGACACACUUUUUUUCUUUUUCUCAUUACAACAUCAUAAAUGUAUUCUGUAUAACAAUGAGGUUCUCUUUCCAUUUUCCGUGCAACUCCCCUUCUCCCUCUUUUUCCCUCCCACCUCUCUUCCCUAUUUAGUGGUAGUCUUCUUCUCAUGCUCUUCCUCCCUAUCCCAUUUUGAGUCACCCCCCUUAUAUCAGAGAAGACAUUUGGCAUUUGUUUUUUAGGGAUUGGCUAACUUCACUUAGCAUAAUCUGCUCUAAUGACAUCCAUUUGCCUGCAAAUGCCAUGAUCUUGUUAUUUUUUAGUGCUGAGUAAUAUUCCAUUGUGUAUAAAUGCCACAUUUUUUAAUCCAUUCAUCUAUUGAAUGCAUCUAGGUUGGUUCCACAUUCUUGCUAUUGUGAAUUGUGCUGCUAUAAACAUUGAUGUGGCUGUGUCCCUGUAGUAUGCUCUUUUUAGGUCUUUUGGGUAUAGUCCAAGAAGGGGAAUAGCUGGGUCAAAUGGUGGUUCCAUUCCCAGCUUUCCAAGGAAUCUCCAUACUGCUUUCCAAAUUGGCUGCACCAAUUUGCAGUCCCACCAGCAAUGUAUGAGUGUACCUUUUUCCCNUUUUAGCACCUUUGUCUAAUAUAAGGUAGUUGUAAUUUUGUGGAUUUGUCUCUGUGUCCUCUAUUUUGUACCAUUGGUCUACUAGCCUGUUUUGGUGCCAGUACCAUGCUGUUUUUGUUACUAUUGUUCUAUAGUAUAGUUUAAAAUCUGGUAUCGUGAUACCACCAAUUUCACUCUUCCUGCUUAGAAUUACAGGCUCAAGUGGUAACAUGCUCACCUGGCAUGCGCAGGGUGCUGGGUUCGAUCCUCAGCAUCACAUAAAAAUAAAAUAAAGAUGUUGUGUCCACCGAAAACUAAAAAAUAAAUAUUAAAAAAUUCUCUCGUGUGGGUUACAGUCAUUCAUGUGACAGAGUUGCAUAGACAUUAUCUAUACUUACAAAAGAAAAUAGGACUUGAAGAAAAAGUUCCAUCUAAAUGACAUGUUUUCUAUGCUAAGAAGAUGGUAAGAUAAAGAUGAUAAAGAUGAAGUUUGAAAACUGAGUUUAAGGUUAAAAUUAAAUAGCAAAUAACAAAGCUGUUUGUGGUAAAGGAAAAAGGAGCAGGAAAAUUAGGAGACUGCUGAUUGGCCCAAAGGUUUGACCAAAGUUGAAACAAUAUUUCUUCUUGGUGCCAGAUUUGUAAUUAAUUGAUUAUAAAAUGCAUCCUUCCUUAAUUGUAGCAUUUGGGACAAUGUUUUGUUAUUAUUCAUGUUGAGCCCACAACUGGGAAACAAUAUGCACAGAUUCAUCCAUUUUCUAAGUUCUGACACAUAUGUUUUAUUUCCUGAAGAUGCACACCUUUGAAAUAUUGCUCAUGAACCUUGCCGAUGAAUGCCAAUUCUGUUGGUGAUGAAUACAAUCUGAUGAAGAAAGAAUGAUUUCAAGGGAAGUGGAAUAUCUCUGCAUAUUGUAUGGACCCUGUUAGAGACCAAAGAUGCUUUCAGACAUGUAGAUGUUUAUUGAGAACUCUUCUGAAAACAAUAUACUCAUUGAUUCAAAGACCAUAUCUACCUAACAAAAGAGGAAGGUUGAUGAAUCCCUAACUCAUUUUUAUCAUUGUGUUCUUUAAUCUUGAUUGAUUUUGUAUCAGUCUAAAUCAUUGGAUAAUUAAUUGCUCCAACAGCUCAAGUAUUGUUUGAGAAAAUCAACCAGUCUGGGGGAGUCAUUUGUCUUACCCAAGAUAGAGAAAUAAUUUUCAUUAAAAAUGGUGAAGAAGUAAUUUUAAUAACCUGAAUAUUUGUGUCCUGGGAACGGAAAUAGCUAGUUCUUUUGGGGUGCACAAGAAAAUGCCAGAACAUGUUAGACUGUUUGGUUGGAAACUGAGCCAGAGUCACCAAGUUUCUCUGUUCUAUUUUCCUUUCCACCUUUCUUGUGUCUGAUAAAGUCUUUCCUUAUUUAUAAUAUCUACUAAGAGCUCAUUAUCUAUCUCUCCAUCUACCAUCUCUGUAUUUAUACAUCAUCUCUUUGCCUAUUUAUCUUCCAAAGAAGUUUAAAGUAUCUGGUCUGUGAAAGCAGAAGAGGACUAUUAGAGUCUGGAAAGGGGGUUAGAGGAGGAGGUCAAGUGGGGGUGGGGGAGGACAGGAGAAAGGAGAAGGGACAUAAUCAGAGCUUGAUACAUGCAUAAAUGGAAAUGCCACAGUGAAACCCAUUAAUUUGUGUAAUUAAUAGUGUUAAUUAUAAUCUCCAUGCUAAUAAAAUAUCUGGUUCCCCGUAUAUCUCAUAAAUAGUCAUAAAAUUCUACCCAACACAUUAAGGAUGUUAAUUAUGUACUUGUGUCUGCAUUCCAUGGCCUUCACCAAGAGACACAUACUAGGCAGCUUAAAUCUUAUUUUGAACACAGAUUUUAAAAUCCUAAUGAGGUCAGAGGCCUAACAUGUUAUUUUUCUGUAGUAAUUACAAGAUUUCUAUCUCAGGCUUGGUGAUGAUACAGUGUUGUAUGUGACAAACUAAAAUAGAUUGUUUCUUUGAAAUCUGGGUCAGAACAUCAUUGUCAGAUUUUUGUUUUCUUAAAGAAAGAGAGAGAGAGUGAGAGAGAGGGGGAGAGAGAGAAUUUUAAUAUUUAUUUUUUAGUAUUUGGCGGACACAACAUCUUUGUCUGUAUGUGGUGCUGAGGAUCGAACCCGGGCCGCACGCAUGCCAGGUGAGUGCGCUACCGCUUGAGCCACACAUCCCCAGCCCCAUCAUUGUCAGAUUUUUGAAAAUUUCACCAAAUGCAGCUUAAAUGACUUUAAACUUAGAAGCAGCGCAAAACAGGAAAUAUCAUGGAAAAGAAAUAUAAAUUUAGAGAAUGUCAGUCAUUUUCACCAUUGAUUUAAAAAUCAACAUUAACAUGGUGGGGUAUAUUUUUAUAAAAUGCCACAAAGUAUAAUAAUUAUAUGUCAAUGUUUUUGAUUUUUAAGCAAUUUAAUCUUUCCUUUUUCUGAGUUAAAGACUUCUCAAGAAAGAUUAAAAUAGGUAAACGAUUCUUGCCAUAUGUUUCUGUAAUCCUUUUGAAAGAUUUUUUAGAAACAAUUUUUUAAUUUUUGAUUCAGAAAUAAUUUAAAAUUACUUCUACAAAGAGGAAUAUAUGUCUAGAGGAUUACAUUUGUUUCUGAUUUCUUAUCUCGUUAACAAGAUUUUUCCAAGUUCCUCUUGAAUCCAAAAGAACACAAAAAGGAGAUUGGAGGCAUAAAGCCUAUUAUUUCCCACCAUUAAGUUAGAUAAUUUUCUUUCCCUUUGUAAUAUUUGAUUUGCACUCAUUUUCUAAUGUGCCAGGAAAGCUGGACUCACCUCAGUUGCCUGAGUGAAUUAUUUUAAGGUCAGAGUCUCCUAUAUCUUCUCUUGGGUUUACGUUUGAAUCAAAACCAAGUUUUUAACUCAGAUGUUGCUGAUCAGAAGUUUCUAAAAAUCUCAUUUAUUUUUUAUUCCCUUCCUUUACCUGUGCUCAAUAUACCAACUGAUGAACCUUCUUCUUGUGCUCAUAUAUAUAGUUUUUUAAAAUUCUAUUUUGUUAUAUAUGACAGCAGAAUGCAUUACAAUGCAUAUUACACAUAUAGAGUUGUGCUCUCUUCUUUUGUAAUGCAUGAUUGUACCAUUUUCAAAGACCUCUUUUCCCCCAAUAGUACUUUUUUUAUACUUUCCUUCCAGUUUUAAUUCAUUUUUUUUCUAAAUACAUGUAGGCCACUGAGCUAUCAAUCAAACACAGUGUCUGGGUAUAGAGUCCCUAAAGCAAGCUGCUGAGUCCCUGGGCUUGACAUCUUUGACUGUUUCAGUGUUAGGAGGUAAGCUAGAGACAUAUGAAGGAGACCAGUUUUCAAGUUGUUGAAGUAGGAAGGGAAUAAGGUCAAGGUAUUUCAUUCUCAUCGCAGCCCUGUGAUUAAAGUUACCCUUGUUUUCCUUACAUCACAGGUUUAGACAAAAUUUCCUGGAUUACAUAGUUGGGAACAAGCAGAGAAGGGCUAUUUUUAUUUUUAUUUAUUUUUGGCACUGGGAAUUAAACCUUUCUCAUGCUAGGUGCAUGUUUUAUCACUGAGCUACACACACAGCCCCCAUAAUAGGGAUUUGAAUUCAGGUCUGUGUCAUUUUGAGGUCUUUUUGAAUUUAACUCUUAUACUACAUCAACCUGACCAGCUAUUUAGAAAUACCUCCAAUAAGUCACCAAUGAACUUUGCUAUGAAACAUUUCAAAGCUCAAGGUUUAUAUGAAUAGCUCUGUCUUGCACAUUACUGUACAAUGAUGCCCAAAAUGACUCCAUUGUGUACUGAGAGAAAAGUCUUUCUCUUUAUGGGGGCUAUGCCCUGGGAAACAGAUUCAUAUGAAAGAGACUAACAAACUGGGCAUGGUGGCACACUCCUGCAAUCCCAGUGGCUUUUGAGGCUGAGGCAGGAGGAUGGCAAGUUCAGAGCCAGCCUCAGCUACUUAGUGAUGCCCUGAGCAACAUAGCAAGAACUUGUCUCAAAAUUAAAAACAAACAACAACAACAACAACAAAAAGAGGACAAAUAGGAGAUUGAUUUAAUUUACAAAAUGGAAUUUCAAAUUAUUUUUAUAAAAAUGAAUGUAUAGAGGGUUACAAAUAUUGAUCAUUUGUAGAAGUUGUUCCGUUUGGCUAUGUAGAAUUACUUCAGAGGUCCAUUAAUAAAUUCAAAGGUUCUAAAAUCAGAACAAAGAACCAGUGUUCUUAAUGGACCUUCCUUUAUACCAGUACAGCCAAUUGACUCACAAGGCUGAGGCAGGAGGAUCACAAGUUCCAGGGCAGCCUGCAAAAAUAACAAGACACUACCUCAAAAAAAAUAGAUGAAGUUAAUAUCAAUAACAUAUGAAUAUAGGCUAAUAUGUUAUAUAACAUAUAAUAUUAUAUAUAACAAUAUAUCCAAAAUAUAAUUAUUUAAACCUGUAUUCUAUAUAAAAUUACUAAUGAGAAAUUUUACUGUCUUUUUUCAUACCAUUUUCAGAAUCCAGUGUUCAUUCUACUCUUGGAGUACACCUCAUUUUGGAUUAGCCCCUUUCCAAAUGCUCAGUGGCCAAUGCUUUGAGUGGCUACUGUCCUGGAUGGCACAGUUCUAUACCUACUGUGGAGGAUUUAAGAGAGACUUUCACCCAUCAGCAAAGGAUGUGCAAACUUUUUUCUAAGGUGAAUGGUUCUGCAGAUGACUGAGUUCAUCUGUUAUAUGUCAGUUACUGUUUUAAAAAUUUCUGUUUCAGAAUGUGAUAGGUUCUCACUUAAAAGAAAAAUUUCAUCUGAGUUUAGUGUCUUUCUACUUACACAUUUCUGAUGGACAAAGCAUGAUACAAGGAAGUUAUUACUUAAGUUUCAAUCAGGUAUUAUUUUACUACUAAGACUUGCUAGAAAUAUUCCAUUUCCUUUAAUAGAUAUUUGUGAAAUUGCCUGCUACAUGCAAGGUAUUAAGAGGGAAAAUAUGUGUAAGGCCCAUUUUUUAAAAAACAAUAAUUAUUUUAAAUAUUGAAAAUCUCUAAAUGGAUUAACGGGAAAGUGCUCCAAUUUGUUGAGUUCUUACAUGUAAUUAACAUGUGUGACCUUGUUUUAUCCUAAAGGGUUUAUGAUAUGGUUAAAUCUUAUUCCAGUGGAUGCUUGAUAUUUGAGAAACUUCAAAUGUGUAUGAAUGCAGACAUUUAAGCCUCACUCUCAAAAGCACUGGUGUUUGAGGUGGAUGGACUCAAGUUCAAGUUCUAGUUUUUCUUGUUUUCUGAUCUUGGGAAAAUUGUUUAAACUUCAGAAGUCUGUUUCCCCAUUUAGAAAAUAAGCAUCAUAACAGUCCCUAUCUCUUAAGGUUGUUUAAGGACUGAGUGAGCUAAUUCAGGACAAGCACACUGUGCGAGGCAGAUACAAAGGACUCACUAAAUGUCAGCUGCUCAGUGUUUCUAUCAUCAGCAGCGACAGGCCUCAUAUAUACUGGUGGUUUCAGUUUGCAGAAAUUUUCUCAUCUACUCAAUAUAGUCCAGUUCAUUUUUUAUGUUACAUGAGUAAACAGAGAAGCCCAAAAUACUUUUCCAUGAUCCACUGUACAAACUGUAUUAGAAGUUUUUAGAAGUAGAUCUGCCAUUCCCCAACAGCUAGGGGAGAGGACAACACGUUUGUCUGUUUCUGCCUAGGAACUAACAGCUCUCUUCUUCAAAGGUGAUGACUAUGGUUUCUCUCUGAAAGAUACCUAAAUUCUAGCCAAUGCUGCUUUAGGAUUUGACGCAUCUAAAAAGAGAUAGAAGAACAAGGUUUUUCCUCGAUCAUACCUUGUCAUUCAAAGUUCUUUUCAUGCUUUUGUUAUGGCUGAAGAUUGUAUUUAGGUAGCGCAACAAAACCAACAAAAAUCAAAAUGAACCAAUGACCAGAGCAAAAGCUGAGAAAGAAAGGGCAAAGAGCUUCUGUCCAGAGUUCAAGUGCUUCCACUCAUCAGUUAGUCUUAACCUUUUUGAUAAUUAUAUUAUGUGCAACAGCAAAGACACAAAAGGGGAUAAAGGUCUUAGGAGUUAUAUUGACAAACUAUGUGUGGUGCUCAGAAAUGGCACGGAAUAUCUUGUUUAAGCUGUAAAAAUAUAUUAGCAUGUCAUGUUAUCUUCAUAAAUUCUUCUCACACAUAAGGCGGGUGGAGUUCCCGAAUCCCAAGGCACAUUACCAAUUCGGCUGGCCACUGUAAUCCAUCAAUUGUUUUGUCACAUAUUUGCAGGCUCACAGUUGGGACUGAGGUAUUAUGAUUCUGGAGGGUUUGAUAAUAGGUGAGUUAUUAGCUGUUGGGGACAGAUUUGUUUCUGAGCCUUUCUGUGGCCGUCUCUUAUAUAGAAAGGCAAUCAUUCUCAUGGAAUUUGCUCCCUCAGACUUAAAAAGACUCGAAUAUUCCUUGUAAUUUUUUUUUCCCAGUAAAAUUUCAUUAGUGGUUAAUCAUGACUGGUGGAGCUUUCCGGAAGUUCACCAAGAGUGUUGAGAGUUCAUACAUGUCAAAUUUGAAACAGCCUUGUUAUGGGAAAGCCUGCUGUAUUCUUUGUCAUCAUGUUUAAAGAAAACAUUUUGUUUUUAGAAAAUGAAAAGAUGUGUAGAGCCAUCUUUCUAGGCUGGACAAUUUUACCUUUUGUUUUUUGAUUAUUUGCCUAGGACUGUAUGAUUUGGGGUAAGAAAUAAUUCACUCCUAGGCAUAUUUAAAUAGCAUCUAACUUUGGUAAAUAUGCAAGAAGUGGAAGAACUUUCCUCCCUCCUUCCUUCCUUUCUCUCCCUCUUUCCCUCUCUCUCUUCCUUUAUUCUUCUCUCUCUGUGCUGAAAUUGAACCCAGGGCCUUAUACAUUCUAGGCAAGCACUCUACCACUGAUUUACAAUCCUAGUCUUCCAAAAGGUUUUUGUAGAUGCUGCAAAUCAGGCCAGAUAAGCUAUACUUACAACCAGUUAGGUCUACCUAGAAAAUUCUCAAAGGAGCUAGAUCAUACUGAAAGUAGAAUCAAUUUCUCUUCCAAUGGUGCACGUUUUAGGGAAACAAAAAGAAGAUAAAAUGCAAAGGUAUGCAAUAAACUUCUCAAUGCAUUUUCCCCAACAUUUAAAUUUUCUAUUUUAUAAGGGUAUCUUCAGGUUAGGUAUUUUAUUUCACACAUUCUCAUUAACCAAAAUCAGCUUCACUAUUAAAAUAUUGUGAAUUGCUUAUAUUUUUUUUUCAGUGAAAGUUAAAAGAUAUGGAAAUAAAAGACCAUUUCCCAAAAUUCAAUACAAAAUAUGUUACAUUGGAUUAGUUAGAUAAUUGAAAACUUUAUUUGAACCACACUGAACCCAAAAUUUUUGCUGGGAACACAUUGCAGACUUUUAUGCUGUUUUUCCUCUCUGAUAUAUUGGAGACUGGAUUUAUCUAAAAGCAGCACCUGUAAUUCCCUGGCUGAAGGAAAGAGGAGAAAUGACAAAACUUUAAGAUGGAGAAGUAGUCACCUUGGCAGUGAAGCUUCCAAGUGGCAGUUGAAUCUAUAGAGUCUGAUAAAGAAAUAAAAAAAUAUUUAGGACAUGCUCUUUCACUCAGCAAGUGCGUCAGUCAGGGGCUGGCAGAAAGCAGGUGCUGCCUGCAAGAUGGAGAACUUGAGGACUUUAAUAGGAAUCUAUUUACAAAGGAGGGACGAAGUGUAGGGAAACCACAGAGAUAGUACAGCACUCCCAGGGCCAGAAAUAGCAGAGCUAUCCUAAUCCCUAGGUCAAAAGAAAUGAGGUGGGGGAAGGAUAGAGUUCCCAAAAUUUGGUAAAAGAAAGUAGAGAGAGAGAGAGGCAGUUUCCUUGAGAGGGGCAGUGACCUUGUCUGAGGGAAACAAUGGCCUGAGGUGAGCCCCCUGAUGUAAGAGUCAGGCAAUACAGCCUCAGAUCUCUCUUUCUCCUCCUUCUCUCCUAUUGGGACUCCUCAUUGGCUGUAUCCAACUGGACGCUAACGAAUGACAUGUUCCAUGCAGGUCUGUCUCUCAUUGUAGGCCUCAGGGUCCAGGAGCGUGGAUUCUGGGGGACAGAGAAGAUAUUCCUUAUAGACAGUCUAAACAAAGCACUUACUAUAAGCAAGACCCAGUGGAAGGGGACUUGAAUCAGGCAUAAGCUGUGGAAAGAUUUGUGAAGAUUUGCUGUUUGUUAAUUCAUCUCUGAUUCUGGUAUGGUAGAUCAGAAUCAAAAAUACUGCUGCUGAGAUACUGUCCUAGCCUUUCUUCUAGGGCUUCUGCUAGUUGGUGAUUCAGACUUCUUUCCCACUGGCUGUGCUUUCCCCUAUCGUAAUACUAUUGGAAUCAUCUUGUGACAGUAGUGUCAUGGGGGUGCAGUUGGCCAGAAAUAUCUCACAACUGAGCAACUUGCUGCUAGAGUUCCCAGGCACAUGUGCUUGUUAUUACAACACCACAUUUUCUUUUGACGAUUGUUUUGCUCCUUAUUAGAGCAGUUUUGUAAUAUUUUUCCUCAGCAAGGCUGGGGAUGUGGAAAUGAAGAGAGGCAGAAAUUGAAGUGGGUUGGUAAUCCCAGCAGACAUUUGAGCAGUGAGAUUUCUAUGUCAGAGGAAGAAAUGGCUGUAUGUUCCACAUGGACCUAAUUCCCCCCUUUUAUCUUAAUUUCAGAUCCUAUAGGAAAAAGAUAGCACUGAAAAUCUAUAAGGCAUAACUUGCUCUUCGUUACCAACUAGGUCAUGAGCACCCAUGCCUAUGGUCACCUACAAGUCUAGAGCUCUGUGGUUUUAUAGGGAAUUCAUUGGCUACAGGAGGAGUGAGAUGAGAUACCGAGGGGACACUCAUUGGCCAGUGUCUCUGCUUAACAGUUUUGUUCAUAAUAAGGGUAUAUAUGUGUAGCAAUUAUUUAGUCAUCAAAUUUUCCUCAAACGAGAAUCUCAGUUAAUUCUUAUAGUGGCCCUAUGAGGUGGGCAAGGCAGUCCUGAUUAAUUCCCUUUUCACAUAAGAAUUGAGCCUUAGAAGCCAACUAACCUGCCAGGGUUCUAUGGCUGAGAAGUGGCAGAGUGACAGAAGUUGAAUUCCAUUCUAAAACAAAAUCACAGAAGUUUCUAAGAAGAUUCAAAGGAGAAUCUAUCUAUGCCUCUUAUUGUUCUCAGAAAAUUUGAGUGUUGGGAUAAUCAGGUAGCUUUUGAGUGAGUUUUGACUGUAACUCUAUCCAAUGAAUAAGUAACUGUAUUUGGGAAUAAAAUUAUGUUUUAUUUGAGUCAUUGUUCAAAUGCCCCUUCUCUUAUUUUUUCCCUCUUCAGAAUACUGGUAGCAGGAAGGUGUGCUGCUUUCUGCCAAUGUGUUGGUUCUAACUUGGUAAAUAAUGUCAAACAGCACCAAAAUUCAACAGGAGGGUAUGACUUGUGAGGUAUGAAUGGUUUCAAAUUAGAUACUGUCUUGAACCCUUUUACUAUAGUCUAGCCUAUUGAAAUUUAGGAACUUGCACUAAUUCUUUCAUGUCAUUGGGGUAACGUUCUUUGAUAAGCAACUUUACUGCAUGGAUAUAUAAGCAAGUUAAAAUACAUUUUAAGACAUUUAAUAUUCAAGUACCAGGGAAAUCUAAGACAAAGAUUAUGUUUGAAAAUAACUUCAAUAACUUACAAUAAUAAAAAGCAUUUUAUGGAUAUAGCCACACUGUUAAGAUUUUCCAGUGCCUUCUCUGUAUCUUCUAUAUAGUAAAGAUUUUUCUUCUAGAAAGCCUUUAAAUCGUCCAAGUAAAAAUGAUUCACUAAUAUUUAUACUAAAUUUGAUUAAGUUAAUUUGAUUAAAUAGAGAUGGAUUAUGAUAAUUCUAUUAAUUUUUAUUUUGUAAUUCUAAAUGUCUAAUUAUGAGAACCUCAAACAUUGCCAUGGACAUAGAAUUUAAUGUCAACUAUGUAUUUAAAUUGGAAAACUGUCUUUGAAAAGCACAUUGUUAAGAAAACACAAUGCCAUCCUAGGCUGGAUGGAUUUUUCUCUGACUUGUGAUUUUCUAACUUCUCUUUUUCUGUAUCAUGUUUCUCCAGAGAAACAGAAACAACUGGAUAUAUGUAGAUAUGUAGAAUGAAACUUAUAAUGAGGGAUUUGUUCAUGCAAUAUGGGGAUUGAGAAGUUCCAUAAGUUUCCUCUGUGAACUUGAGGGCCAGUGGAGCCCGUGGUAUUGUUCCAGUGUAAGCUCAAAGGCAUAAGAACUGGGAGACCCGAUGGUGUAGGUGCCAGUUCCAGUCUGAAAACCCCCAAACCAGGACUCUGAUGUCCAAGAACUGGAAAAGAUAGAUAACCCUGCUCAAGCAGAGACAGAAAAUGUUUCCUUUCUCUGCUUUUUAAAAAUUUCCUCUUUGAGUUUCUGGCUAGCAUUUCUAGUAGUAUAUUAAAUAUUAGUAUGAGACUGGUCAUCCUUAUCUUGUCCCAUAUUUAAAAGGAAAUGCUUUCAGUUUUUCCCCAUUUACUCUUAGGUUGAUUUUGGGUUUUUCACAUAUAGCCUUUAUGAUGUUGAGGUAGGUUCCUUCUAACCCUAUUUUGUUCAGUAUUUUAAAAAAUCAUUUUUAUUUUUUAAUUUGUUGUAAUUAGUGUUCAAUGUUUUUAUAAUUAAUGGAUGCUGAAUUUUGUCAAAGGCCUUCUCUGUAUUUAUUGAGAUAACUAAGUAAUUUUUGUCUUUAUUUCUGUUUAUGUGGUUAAUUAAAUUUAUUAAUUUUCAAAUAUUAAACCAUCCUUGAAUCUCUGGGAUAAAACCAACUUGGUCAUGAUAUACAAUCUUCUUAAUAUGUUGUUGAACAUGAUUUGCUGAUAUUUUAUUAAGAAUUUCUGCAUCUAAGUUCAUCAAGCAUAUUGUUUUAUAUAGUUUUCUCUCCUUGAUGUGUCCUUAUUGGUUUUGGCCUGAGUGUGAUACUGGCUUCAUAGAAUGAAUUUGGAAAUGUUCUGUCUAUUUCUAUUUCUAUUUCUAUUUCAUGGACUAACUUGAGGAGUAUCGACAUUAGUUCUUCUUUAAAGGUCUGGUAGAAUUCAGGUAGGAAUCCAUUUGGUCCUGGGCUUUUCUUUGUUGGAAUGCUGUUUGUUACCACUUCUAUCUCAUUUUAAGUUAUUGGUCUGUUUAAGUUUUCUAUUUCUUCUUGAUUCAGUUUUCUUGACACAACUUUCAGGUUGUAAAUGCCUGAAAAUUUCUUCUAGGUUUUCCAAUUUAUUGAAGUAUAAAUUUUCAAACUAGUUCCCAAUGAUCUGCUGGAUUUCUGUGAUGUCUGUGGUGAUUUCUCCUUUUUCAUCUCUAAUUUAUCAAUUUGUGAUUAUUUUCUUCUUCUUUUGGUUAGUUUGGCUAAGGUUUUAUCAAUGUUGAUUAUAUUUUCAAAGAAUCAACUCUUCAUUUCAUUGAUUCUUGUAUUUUUUUAUUCCUAAUUUUAUUGAUUUAAGCUCUGAUCUUGAUUAUUUCCUCGCUUCUACUCGUUUUGGAAUUGGUUUGUUCUUUUUCAAUGGUCUUGAUGUGCAUGAUUAGAAUGUUUAUUUGGAAUCUUUCUAAUUAUUUUUUUUUAUGUAAGCACUAAUAACUGUAAACUUGGAUUUUAAAACUGCCUUCAGAGGUUCUGGUAUGUUGUACCAUAAUUUUGUUUAAGAAUUUUAAUAUUUCUUUCUGAUUUCUAUCACACAUUCAUCAUUCAAAAGUGUAUUGAUCUACAACCACUAUGGAAAUCAGUAUAGAGUUUCCUCAAAAGACUAGGCAUGGAACCACCAUAUGAUCCAGUUAUAUCACUUCUUGGUAUUUAUCCUAAAGAAUUAGUCAUUAUACUACAGUGAUACCCAUGUUUGUAGCAGCACAAUUCCCAAUAGCCAUGCUAUGAAGCCAGCCUAAGUGUCCAUCAAUGGAUGAGUGAAUAAAGAAAAUGUGGUACCUAUACACAAUGGACUUUUGUUCAGCCAUAAAUAAAAAUGAAAUUAUGUCAUUUGCAGGAAAAUGGAUAGAACUGGAGGCCAUCAUGUUAAGUAACAUAAGUCAAACUAUGAGGGUUAAGGGUCAUAAGUUUUCUCUCAAGCUAGAGAGGAAAAAAUGAAAACAAAAGUGACAGUGGACUUCCUAAAAAUCAAACGCAGAUCAAUGGAGGAAAGUGACCAAGGAGUGGAAGGAGGAGGGAGGGAGGAAGUGCUGGGGAGUGAUGUUGGCUAAAUCAUAUUGUUACAUUGUGUGCAUGUAUGAAUAAGUUACAGCAAACCACAUCAAUAUGUACAACUAUACACUAAAAAUGUGGAAAAGAAGCAUGUUGUUUAAUCUUCAUGUAUUUAUAUAAUUUCUGUAGGGUUUUGUUGAUUUCUAAUUUCAUUUCAUUAUGAUCUGAUAGAUGCAAGGAAUUAUGUCGAUUUUGUUUUGUAUUUUCUAGGAGUUGCUUUUUGUCCUAGAAUGUGGUAUAUUUUGGAGAAGGUUCCUUGAACUUCUGAGAAGGAAGUGUAUUCAAGUGUUUUUGGAUUUAUUUCUAUAGUGUCUGUUAAAUGCUUUUGAUAUAUAAUAUCUUUCAGAUCCAAAGAAUCUUUCCUGAGUUUAUAUCUGGUGACCUGUCCCAUGGUGAGAGAGGUGUGUUAAAAUCACCCAGUAUUAUUGUUCUCGGGUAUAUCUGAGGCUUCAAUUUGAGUAGUAUGCUUUUUUUUAAAUAUAUAUAUAUAUAUAAUUAGUUACACUCACAUUUGGGGAAUAAAUAUUCAUUCUUAUUGUAUCUUGUUGAAUUGUUCUCUCUCCCAAAUGAAGUAAUUUUGUCUCUCCUGACUAAUUUUGGUUUGAAGUUUGAUUUGUCAAGCACAAGAGUAGCUAGUCCUGCUUGUUUUCAGGCUCCAUUUGCAUGAUAUAUCAAUUUCCAUCCUUCCAUUUUCAGCCUGCGGCUCUUUGCCUGGAAGGCAAGUCUCUUGCAAACAACAUAUAGUUGGGUUCUGAUUUUUAAUCCUUUCUGCUAGUCUGUGUCUUUAUACUGGAGAGUUGGAACCAUAUACAUUCAAUGUUAUUUUAGAGAGAUAUUUAUUAAUUUCUGCCAUUUUUAUUUAUUGAUAAUGUUUAAUUUGAACCUCUUUCUCAUUUGAUUAGCUAUAAAUUUUGUUUAAUAAAUAAAAUGCUUUAUUCACACAGCUAUCACUUACUCAUUGUUCACUAUAAGCCAGGGACUGUGUUAAGUACUGCCAUGCAAUAAUUUAUUUGCUAUUUAUUAACUCAGCCCAUUUUGGAGUGCCUACCAUUGGCCAGAUGCUUAGAAACAGUUAUAAAAUGACUUAAAUUUCUGGUUUCAUGAACCUAACAUUUUAGAAGGGGAUAAAUAAUAAAGAAAUAAAUAACCAACACAUAUAUGUGCAUAUAAACAUUUUUUUAUACCUUAGCAUCAUAUGUUUCUAUCUUACAGCCCUCCAGACCCUCUUAUAAAACCCAAUCCUUGCCCUGAUGCAUCUAGUGUAAAUGUUUCUUUUUUUUUUCUAUUUUUAUUUUACUUUAUUUUAUUUUAUUUUUAUUUUUUUAUUGGUUGUUCAAAACAUUACAAAGCUCUUGACAUAUCAUAUUUCAUACAUUAGAUUCAAGUUCGUUAUGAACUCCCAAUUUUACCCCAAAUACAGAUUGCAGAAUCACAUCGGUUACACAUCCACAUUUUUACAUAAUGCCCUAUUAGUAACUGUUGUAUUCUGCUACCUUUCCUAUCCUCUACUAUCCCCCCUCUAAGUAUUGUUUGGUACCUAUGAUUCAAGUACCAGUAAUUUGUAUUCUUAUAUGGAGAAUAAAUAGCACACACACACACACACACAUACAUAUAUAUGCAUUUGCAUGCAGACACUGUCUACAUGUAUGUAGCUAUGUACAUAUAUACACAUGAUAUGCAUGUAUGUAUGAUAAAAAUAGCAAAGCUACAGGGAUUAAUAGAAUAUGAAUGUAGUGAUAUUUUAGAAAGAUAGCACUACAUUAGGAAAGGUCUCUAAGGAGAUGGCAUUUGAGAGAGACCCCAUUGAAGCAAGGGAAAGAUACAGAGUUCCUGGAAGAGGGAAGAAUGUGUCCAGAAGCUCAAGAUUGGGGUGCUCUUGGCGUGUUCUUGGCACAGCAAGAAGGUAAACUGUGGCCAUGAGCCUUGGGUGACAGGGAGAGCUUCCUGGAAAUGAGGUCAGAGAGAUAGGCAGAACCAACCUGUGGAAGAAUUUAACAGAUUUAUUUCUAUGUGCAAUUAGAAGACAUUGGGGGAGGUGGUGUAAGUAGGUGAUGAUAUGGUCUGAUAUAUGAGAAAUAAGACAAAUGAAAAACAUCCUGAAACAUCACUAAAGAAACCUGAAGGUUCUAUAAUUAAACAUUUAUAGACAAAUGAAUAUUAGACUAUAAAAAUUUAUAAAAGAAAUUUGCUAGACUUUUUAAAAAUCAGCUAUAUGUAUGGUCUAUGUAGGGUGCAUAUGUAUGUGAGUAAUUGUGGGAAUGAUAUAACAAUUUUAAAUGGAACAUUAUGGCCUCAAAGUUUAUGAAGAUGGGAAAUAUAGCAUUUACAAACUGAACAAAGAGUGUCAUUGUUCAUUAGAGAAAUAAAAGCUAUAGCUAUUUUUAUUUUUCAAAUCUAUAUUUUUAUAUUACAGAUCCUAAAGACAUGAUUUAAAUUCUCUAUAUCAGAAUAUAAAUUACCACUGCUUUAAUUGUAGGUCCCAGACAACACUUAAGAAACAUUUACAGUAGACAUUUUCCUCACAUCAGGGCAGGAAUUGGUGGGUAAGAGGAUCUGGAGAUCUGUGGGACAGAAACAUAUGAUGUUAAGGUAUGAAAUCAUCAAAGCUCCUUCCCCCCCACCAUUUCUAUGCACUGAUGAGAUCUUAGUGCUACAGUUAAGGACUCUGGGUUGUAAAAUUAAUUUUGAUGCUAAAAGGAUAGGCACCUGGAACAAGACGAAACAAUGAUGGUAUAUGAUGAAACAAUGAUGGAACGUAACAGCUAAUGUUCAUUGAGUGCUAGGCCCUGUGUGAUUGGGUGCUCUGUUGGUAUUAUAAAGCCUUCAUGAGUGGUUUUCCUUAUCAGAGUUCUUUUGUUACUGUUUUUUGUUGACAAGUUAUCAUAUGUAUUUAUGGGAUACAAAGUGAUGUUAUGAUAUAUGUGUACGUGUACUGUAUGAAAUGAUUGAAUCAAGCUAAUUAACAUAGUCAUCACAUUAAGAGCUUAUCAUUUAUUUCUCCUUUCUAACUGCCAUUGUUUACCCUUUGAGCAACAUCUCCCCAUUCACCUCACUUUCUAGUCCCUGGUAACCACCAUUCUACUCUGAUUAUUUGAGUUUGAUUGCUUUGGAUUCUAUACGUAAGUGAGAAUAUGCAGUAUUUGUCUUCCUAUGCCUGGCUUUUUUCUACUUAAAAAAGAUUCUCUAGGUUCACCCAUGUUUCACAAAUGAAAGAAUGUUUUCUUUCUUUUUUAAGACUGAAUAGUAUUCCUUUGUGCAUAUACACCACAUUUUCUGUACACAUUCAUCUAUUGUUAGACACUUAGGUUGAUUCCAUAAUAUUUCCUUGUCAGAGUUGUAAACUAAAGGAGUGAGAAAACAAAUUUGGCCAAAGAGAGAACCAAAUAUCGUUUUAAUGAUGUAUAUAAUAUUGUUCCAUAUUAUAUAUAUGACUGAAGCUAAUAUCAGACCAUGUGGCAAUCACAGUCUUCCAAAUACUGAGCUCCAGAAUUAGAUUUUUGCACACAGGUUCAAACCACGCAGGUCAACUAUACGGUUUUACAAAUGAAGGCCAGCCUAAGUAGAACAGAAGAGAGGAGAGGAAGAACAUUCUGUGACCAGUUGUUCCAAGGAGGAAGGGAGCAAAGGGCACUGGGCUAUACUCCACCUCCUCUUUCAAAAUCACAGGUUAGGGGUAUUUAAGGCAAUGUGUUCUCAUGGACACCACAGGAGUGGGGAAGAACUAUUCUCUGUAGUAACAAAUUUAUUAAGUCUCACAGCAACCCUACAGAGCAAGUCUUACAUAGUUUAACAGGUUAGAGACAGAGACACAGAGAAGUGUGAAGGACAACUUCCAAAGUCCCACAAUAAGCCCAUAGCAGAAGCAGCUUUGCACCCCAGCAAUCUGCCCCAGAGUGCACAUUCUCACCCACCACGCCCUCUUGCUCCUCUAGACUUUUUUGAACUAUGCUUUCUUUGAAAAAAUGAAGAGGUUCAACUAUAAAAUUCUCCCCAAACUCCUUACAACUUUAACAUGCUCUAAUACACUUUUAAGUUUAUUGUAAAAUAUCUGGGUGUGUGAAGUAUUUUACACUCCUUAGGCAAAGGAUAAUAUGGAACAAUAUUAUAUACAACCUAAAAUAUUAUUUUGAUGAAUGGCCAUGGUAGGUAAUUGUAACCCAAUUCUGUGUUCAAUGUGGAAAACUUAACAGUUUAAAAAGGAACAGACAGAUGGAAUUUUGCUAAUGCGUCCAAGAAGGAAAUAUGAUUUCACAUGCAUAUUAUAUGCAAGUUUAUGAAUGUAGUCAUGGUGUCUGGAACCUAGGUAGGAAACUAUGAUGAAAAUCAGUGAAGUAAAAUAUCAAAAUAAAACAUUGCAUGACAACUCUUAAUGGGGAGUAAUGCUGGCGCCUUUAAUAAAACCACUUGGGAAUAUUAACGUGAUGCAUAAGUGGCUGAAGGGUUCUGAAUUUCCCUGGCGAUAUUCAUAUAUCACAAAGUUAAUGUUAGCUGGCAAUAAUUCAAGAAGCGACAUGCUUAGCAUACCACUAGUGAGAUGCCAGAGUUGGGAUCACCAGCAGUAAAUUGUGACAUUUUACUUUGUGUCAGAAAUAAGUAGAUUCUUGUUUAUGAUAUUCUAAGAACUUGUUUGGAGUAAAGAUUUAGGAUUCUAAUCUCAAUUAAGGAUGGAAUGUGUGAUUUAGGUAACAAACUCACCUUUGUGUGUGUUAAAGCAUAAAAGUAUAACCAACAUAUUUCAAAAAAAACUGCUUUUGGUGCUUUCCUGGUAGCAAAGAAGUAAGUCCACAUUGUAAACACACUCUGGGCAAUUUGGAAUAUUUUUUUUUUAAUUUUUUAUUGUUGGUUGUUCAAAACAUUACAAAUUUCUUGACAUAUCAUAUUCCACACUUUGAUUCAAGUGGGUUAUAAACUCCCACCUUCACCCCAUACACAGAUUGCAGAAUCACAUCAGUUACACAUCCAUUGAUUUACAUAUUACCAUACUAGUGUCUGUUGUGCUCCGCUGCCUUUCCCAUCCUCCUGGAAUAGUAUUUUUGAUUGAAGGCUUUUUGAAAAAAAUCAUCUUGAAUUAAUAAGCUUCUAAAAAUGGUUUCAAACCAAUAUAAGUUUUAAUUAUGGAAUUAAUAGUUCAAAUAAAUUCAAUUUCUAUGUAAAAUUAAUUUGGCAGUUGGCAAGAGUUAAAAACCUUUAUUUUAAGACCUCUAUUUAACCUUUAUUGAAAUGCUAGCUGAGCUUUUCUCUCCUUCUCCACCAAAAAAUUUCAAAAGAAUGGUAUUACCUUUGCUAACUAAAGAUAUAUAUUUUAGGUGAGUGUGACUUUAGAGAAUAUUUUGGUAUUUCCUUUAUUCAGUUUUUUUAAAAAGUAUAAAUACUUGUUUUAUAACUGCCAUUCUCUUUUAAAAAUUAAAUUAAAUUAAUUAUUAUUAUUUUUGAGCUCAGGUCUUGGUACGCUGCUCAGGCUAGACUGAGAACUCCUAAGCUCCGUGGUCUUCCCACCUCAUCAUCUUAGAAGCUGGGAGUUGAGGCACUUGCCACUAUGCCCCACUUGCCACCCUCAUUAGUAGGAAUGUUCCCAGAACUCUUCUGCUGAUAGCUCAAGGGUUCAUUCUGAAGUAUUUAUUUUCUUUUGGUUAAAAAGAGAUUUUAUUUGCCUGCUGCAACUGCAUGUAUGCUUGUUCUUCGCAUGCGUGUGUGUGUGUUUUAAAUUGUAAGGUGAAAUUAUUUCCUCAAAUUAUGGUAUGAGUGGGAUACUGUGGUUCUUGAUUUAAGGGUAGACCUCAUAUAAAUAAAUGAAUAAAAUAAAGUUCCAUCAACAACUAAAAAAUUUUUUAAAAAAUGAUUUUUUCCUGAUUUAAACAUUAUACAGUGUGUUCAUAUAUUGAAGCAUCAUGUUAUCUCAUUAAUGUGUAUAAGUUUUAUGUGUUGGUUAAAAAUAAUUUAGUUGAAUAAAAAUAAAAAAGAAGAAAACAGUCACCUCUAGCACAAAAGAAUUAUUUGUUAAUUGUAUAAUUUAAUUAAUAUACUUCAUGAUUUUCUUCUCAUGAUAGGUUUAUUUUAUUGCCUAACAUCUCAGUAUAGAAGAAAUGAAGUAGUAUAGAAUUCGCAUGCUAGACAUUUAAAUGUGUCUGAUAUCAAACUAAAGAGAAAAGUGGUUUGAUAAAAUAUUUAUAUAUAUAUAUAUAUAUAUAUAUAUAUACAUACAUAUAUCUGUCUAUAUCUAUAUCUAUGUAGAGAUAUGCAUGUAUAUCUCUACAUAUAUAUAUCUCACGAGGAUUCUUUAUUUCAGAAUUACAAAGUAUUAUACAGUCACUAAAUAUGUAUAGCACAAAAUAAGCAAAAGCUACAUUAUUUGACUCCUAAUAAAUUGUGUUGAUGAAUUGUUAAAAACAAAUAUCAAGUUGCAAAUGUGAAAAUGUGAAUAAACCACAUGAGUUGAUAUGCAUUCAAAAGCCUCAUAAUAUCCAGGGUGCAAGGGCUAUGGAGAAGACAGGAAAGUGGGUGGCUCUCUGUACAGUGAAGCUUCAUGUGCUGCUUAUUUUGAGAACCGUGACUUGUACCUCUUGUGAAAUAUUCUCCUGUGAUUUCUCCACCUAUAAAUAACUUGCUUUGGGUCUGAUGGCUUCUAAUCAGUGAAUUAUGAUUGUUGACUGGGCCUCGGUUAUCAACAGCAGCAUUUAUGGGGCAUUUAAUCCUCAUAACAACCCAGUGAAGUAAGGAUUAUAAUUACUUUUGUUUCACUCAUGAGCAAACCAACCCUGAGAGUUCAGGCCACUCACUAAAGACUAUCAAGCAAUGCAAAUAUAACAGACAUUUUUUUUUUUUUUUGCUCUUGCUGGGUUCUAGGCACUGUGCUGGUGUGGAGGGCUAAAAACAAUAGGAGAUAGUCUGUGUUCUCAAUUCUUGUAUAGUCUGCAGAAGACAGAUGAAUACCCAGGCAACUAUAAUAUAGAGGCCAAGAACUAACAUAUCAAGUACUGCAUUGGUGUGCUCCAAGAUAGAGAACACAUUCACAGGGCUUGAGGAAACUUCAGCAGACAGUAAGAAAUAGAGCAGAAUGACCGAGCUCUCUUUCUUGUGUGAAGCUUGCUAGUGAAAAUAGGCUGUGUUCACCUUUACUCUUUUAGCUCUACAAGGCUGUAGUUCUUCGUAGCCAUAUUAUAGCUUACCACUAUACCGCAUGCAAAACUACUCCUCUCUUUUGCACAUGAAUGCCAGAAUAGACCUUACAUUUAUUUUCAGGGCUGUGUUUAGGAGGGUGCUUAUCUAUUGUGCCAAAGAAAAUAUAUACUUGAGAAAAACACUGAAUAAUUUUCUAGAGGUGUGGAAUCCAGAGCCGGUUGUUUAUAAGAUCGAGUUACUAUUUAUAAACUCUCAAUUUUAAUAUGUUUUAGCCACUGAAAACUGUUUUUGUCAUUUUGAAAUGUUUUAACAUUUAGAAAUUCAGCCUUACUUGUACUUUCCAGCCACAUAGAUUGAACGACAACAUGAAUUUAUGGUAUCAGCAGAGCCAUCUGUAGAUCUGUCUAGAUUUAAGAAUGAAAUGCAUAACAUACUUGGUCAGUCAGUGAAGUUUUGAGUAGUGGGAAUAGAGUACCAGGACAUUAUCUGCCCAACUUCUCUCUUCUAGGAACUGCCUUCUCUUCCCUCUAAAUUAACAUGGUUGCCAUAGGUACAGCCAUGUUUAAAAUGUGACACUUGAUUGGUUCAGGGUGGGAAGAAGACAGAAGCUGGGCUCAUCUUAUUAUCCCGCUAUUUGGCCUUAUCAUUGAUCAGACUAGGCUAGUCAGAGUCUAUUCUGUCUCCAUCCCAACUGGAUGGACUGAAAUUCAUUUCUGAUAUUAACUAACUGGAAUUAACAGCUUCCACAGGCUUAAGAGCUCAGUCACACACAAAAUUGCUCUCAGUUCUAACAACAAUUGCAAGUGGGUACCUGGGCCACUCAUACUUCUAAUUGAUUGAUAUUUGGAGGUUCCUACAACCCUCUCAAGUUUAUCAAUUUGUUACACAGAACUCAGGAAAGUGCAGUAAAAUUUUUUUUUUAAAUUUACAAUUUAAAUUUUACUGUAUUUAUCGAGGUCUAGAGUAUUCUUGAUUGGAGCUUCCAAUCUCCCCCAAACGUCAGGAUAUAUCACCCUCCCAGCAUGCAUAUCAACUUUUAUAUCAACCAGAAAAUUCUUCUGAGCCCUGGUGUUGGAAGUUUUUGUUGGGAUCAUAUUAUAUACCUAUGAUGGACUAAAUCACUGGCCACCUGACUGUAUUCAAUCUGUAGCCCACAUCCCCUCCUUGGAGAUUCAAUGGCUGAAAAUUCCAAUCCCUCUAGUUACAUACUUUGUCUUUCUAGUGAUCAUCUUCCAUUCAGCAGCUAACCAGGGACCUACCAUGUUAGCAUAACAAAGAUAGUCUUAUCAUCAAGGAAAUUCUGAGGGUUUUGAAGCUCUGUACUGGGAACUGGGGACAAAGUUUAGAUGCAACAUUAUAUAACAUUAUAACAGAGAACAUCUUUAGAAAUUCGAAUAUUGAAAUUAUGAGAAUUCUUUUUAGACUCCUGUACUAUGAGAUAUGAGACAUAGGGCUGUUGGCUGCCAUUUUCCACUAGAAAAACUGAAGCCAAUAUAGAGUGUGUGUGUGUGAGGGGGGGUGGGGGAUGGAUGCAAAGAAGAGAUGAAUGUGGGAGAGUAAGUCCUUAGAGAUUUGAGUCCCUUUGUCAAUUUUUCCAUGUAUAUGGUGUGUUUGUUCCACAUUUUUCUUACUAAAUAUCCUUUCCUUCUCUGAUUUCAUCUAAUUUCAGGUGAUUUCCACAAACUCCUAUAGAACAUUCUAUCUGGUAGAGUGAGCAGAUAACAUUUAUAAGGUAGUGGAAGUGUUAUGUACACUGAACACAUGAAGCUCCACAUAAGAACAUGUAAGUCCAGGUAGAACUUAUAUCUACAUAUUCCACAGAAGAUAGAAGGUCAUUGCUGCUUUGUACAAAUGCUGAUCUUGUUAACUCUCUAGACCAAGUUGGUAUGAACAAUGACAGAGUGUUCGUACAGUCACAACAUGAGAAUCCUAAUUUUGGAAAAAUAUUUAAUCUCUUGGAAAUAUGAACAAACACAUUGCUUAACUCUAGAUUUUGCUCAUCCUCUCAAAGCAACUGUGACUAUAUGAUCAAGGAGUGUGUGUGCCCCACCUUUGGUUAUUGCCUAUGGUGGUCUCUCUGCUUGAAAUGCUCUCUCCUGAGAUAUCUGCAUGGCUUGUUUCACACACCACCUGAGGCUUUUGCUGCAGUACAGUCUUAGUAGUUCAUCCCUGACUACUCUGUCUACAUGGCUCCCUUUCCUCUUCACCCUGCUUUUUCAUUUUACUUUAAACCACAGCAUCAGAUAUAUUGACCUUUUAUUUAUUCACUUGCUUGUCACCUGUCUGCCACUUUAGAAGGAAAAAUCUAUGAAAGAGGGACAUGGAUUGUUUUAUAUAUCGUUUUGUCUUAGCAUGUAGAAGAGUAGAGUACCAGGUACAUUGUAGACAUUAACAAAAAUUUCUUGACUAAAAAGAGAAACAAAGAAUUGCUUCUGUUGCUUAGUAACUUUUGAAUAUGCUUCCUACAUUUGGGGGGCAACUUUCUGCCUUGGGAUUCUUGCCUCCUCAAAAAGGCAACUGAUAUUUUAUUUCCAAUCCUUCUUUACAACCAGGGCACCAAUCAGACGCACUCACAAAUACUCUUGUUCAGAAGGCAACAAUCUCUGGAAGUAUGUACCAGGAGGAACAUGUAUGUGUGUGUGUGUGUGUGUGUGUGUGUGUGUGUGUUUAAAGGCCAUGGUAGUAGAUUUCCCAGUGGCAAUGCCUAGUUCCAGUGGAGAGUCUGUGCUUUGUUUGGUUGGCAGUGGAUUUUCUGUGGAACAGUUCUACAUGGGUUGGAGGCUUGUGUCUGGCUUCAUGGCCUUUAGGUUUUACUUUUUACCUUUCUCAGAAAGUUUGUGAGCCACUUUUAAAAAAUCAAUUUCUUUUCUAUUUAAACUAGCUAGAGUGGGUUCUGUGGUCUGCAACUGAGAAACCUAAAUGAUUCACAGCUGGUUUGAAUCUGGAUGAUUUAUUCAUAAGUCUAUAGCUUAAAAAAGCAAUUUAGCCACUUAUAGAACACUCUCUUUUAGAGGACCUCAGUGUUCAUCUAGUCAAGUAAUUAAAAUCUUUUUUUUUCCCAGGGAGUUUUUUCUUCUAAUAACAUUUGAUAAGAAGGUGGGUAUCCAGUAUGUAAAGCCAGUUGAAGUUGCUCUGGUGGAAAGAGGGUAGGUAUCAGAGCCCUCACACUCAUUUCCCUUAUAGUAUCUAAGAUUCUUCCUUGGAUUUCUUAAAAACACUCCUGAAUAUUAGUACCAAAAAUUGAACUUCCUAAUUUCCCAGAAGGGGAAAUGCAUACAUAGAAAAGUAUAACUAGAACCCAGCUAUUUCUAUACAGUUCAGAGUUUUUGUGCUAUGCUAUACUAUAACCUCAAAAUUAAAAAAAUAGUAUUCUUUUAAAGUGUUUUUUUUUUUCCUGCACAUGUUAUUUGAGUAGAAAAAGCAAGAUCCUAUUCAAAUUUUGUUUCUAAGAUUGAAAAGUUUUAACAGACUCAAUUCAAAACACUUUCCUAGUAUAUUUUAGAGAAUUUAAAAGAUAAUUUAAAAAAUGGAUACAAUCCUUUUCAUUAGGAUAAAACCCUGUUUAAAGAUUUCUCCCUGGUAUAUGAUAAUCUAAGUGCCAUACAUUAUAGUUUUAAAACUCAAAUGCAUUGAAAAAAUAUGUCAAGUUUAACAAUGAAAUACUGCCUCACACAUCUCUUAUAAUGGUCACAGUCUAGAUACUGACAACAUCAAAUGCUGGCAAGGAUGUGGAGCAACAGGAACUCUCAUUCAUUGUUGGAAGGAAUGCAAAAUGCUACCUACAGUUACUUUGGAGGACUGAUUGGCAAUUUUUUUCUUAACAAAACUAAACAUAUGUUUACCAUAUAAUCCAGUAAAUCUUCUGAUAUUUAUUCAAAUGAACUAAAAAUGUGUGUUCACACAGAAACUCGCCCAUGCAUGCUUAUGGUAGUUUUAUUCAUAACUGCCAAAGCUUAGAAGCAACCAGGAUGUCCUUCAGCAGGUGAAUGGGUAAAUAAACUGUUGCACAUCCAGACAAUAAAUUAUUUUAUGCUAAGAAGAAAAAAAAUAUUAAGUCAUGAAAAAACAUAGAGGAACCUUAAAUGCAUAUUACUAAGUGAAGGAAACCAAUCUGAAAAUGCUACACACUGUGUGAUCCUAACUAUAUGACUUUCUGGAAAAGAAAAAAAAACAAAGAGCAUAAAAUCAGACAUUUCCAGGGGUUGGAGACAGGAGGGAUGAAAUGUGGUACACAGAGAAUUUUUUUUUUAAACAGACUUCAGCUCAUGUAUUUUGACAAUUUUUAUGCUCACCAAAUACUUCAUCAAGCAUCUCAAGUAAUAAUCAAUAACAACUGUUAGUAGAAAAUGACAUAUAAACUUGUUCCCUAGUUCUCUUAUGAGUAUUAUGGGUGUCUCUCUGUAGAUCAGCAACAGUGAUCAGGUAUCCUUUGAAGAACACCAAAGCAACAAUUAGUGCAGUGAAGGGACAUAUUAUGAUUUCACACAGUGCACACUUCAUUACCUGGAUCACAAGGGGAAGGCUAGGCAGUCAGCGAACUACUUCAGAUUACAAUUCCAAUAUACUUAUUUAUUUAUUUAUUUUUAUUCUUAUUUAUUUAUUUAUUUUAAACAUUGGUACACAGAGAAUUUUUAGGGUAGCAUAAAUAUUCUAUAUAACACCAUUAUUGUGGAUACAUAUCAGUAUACUUUUGUCAAAAUUCAUAGAAUGUACAGCACCAAAGUGAAACCUAAUGUAAACUAUGGACUUGGAGUGAUUGAAGGGUCCAUGUAGGUUCAUUAGUGGUAACAAAUGCAGUUCUCUGGAGGUAGGGAUGUUGAUAAUAGAGGAGGCUAAGCAUGUGUGGGAACAGGGAAUCUUUAUUGACCUAUCAAUUUUUCUCUAAACCUAAAACUACUCCAAUAAGUCUUUAACAAUAAUAACCACAAAACCCCGUUAAAAAUAUUAAUAGAUGUUAAGUGCAUCUAGAUACACUUAUCCUUUUGAAAGUCUAAUAUGGACAAAUAAGUCAAACAGACACGUUUUCCUUUCUUGCUUCUGUGUGUGUGUGUGUGUGUGCGUGUGUGUGCGUGCACAUGUGUUUUCUAUGGCAAUGCAGACACAGUAAAACUCUAGAAUUUGUGAAGUGAGUUUUUUCAUUUAUAAGGCCAAUUUCUAUUGCAUCUUAAAUAGAGAAUCGACUUGUGUUCGUCCUAAAUUUUUUGAACCUGAAAGAACAAAACAUUGCAAAAGAAAUAUGAUUAGCUCCCAAGCUAUCUCAACAACAAGAUAUUUGUAAUUUUUGUUACUGCAAUUAACUGUCUCAGGGUAUAAUCCAUGUAGAUUCAUGUAGAUGUAUAGAGAAACCAAAUAGAUGAGAUGUGUGGAGAAACCAAAUAUCUUAACAGCUCAUUAUUGGCAACAUCUUUGAUUUUCUCUUUGCAAAUGAUAAUAAUUUUUGCUUGGUGAUUUGGAAGGCUCUUUUCUUCUCUUGAUUUUUAUUUAUGACUCAGCUCUGCAAAGACUAUAAUUUCCCAUUAAAUUGUUGUCCACACUUGUACCACAAACAACUCCUCUCUUAUAAUUUUUUCUAUUACUUUUAUAAGCAUGUAAGCUUUUAAAGCUGUGCCUUACUUGAAAUUCUUUACUUUUUAACUAUUUUUCAAUCCUGAUAAGUGAGUAAAAGGAUUUGUCUUUAAAUGAAUUUAUUUUUUUCUUGGUUCCAAAAAGGAAAUGGGCAGCUCAUCAGAGAUCCAGGACAAUUUCAUGAUUGAUACAUCAUUAACUUUCUUAUUAAUGAUAAUAAAAUCAUAUAAGUGACAAAAUAGGCUCAAUAUGUGACAUUCAAAUGGCUUCUGGUGCUCACAGUUCAGGAUAUCUCUCAUGGUACCAUGACCCUCCACCCCUGCCCUCCUGUCCAUCCUACCCUCUCUAUAGAAAUUGUGUUGCUGCUGUUGGCAACCCCAUGGUGAUAGCCACUGGAUAUAUGGAGCUCUCAAGGAGCCAAAUUUUUCCAAAUAUAUAUCUUUCUUUUUUUUCCAAAUAAUUUUUCUUCAGAGAAUAUUCAGAAGAGCCAAGUCUACUUAAUUAUCUUAUUCACUUUGUUAAGCAGUUGCAUUAGCUGUUAAGUUAUAUUACAAUGCAUUUAAAAGUAGUCUUUUUUUGGCUUUAAUUAGUGCGUGACAGUUAUACAUAAUAGUUGAGUUCAUUUUGACAAAAUCUUACAUACAUGGAAUUUAAUUCACUCCAUUUUAGUCCUCAGUGCCUCCUCUUUCCUUCCCCUCCUGCCUUCCACUAUUCUCUUUCCCCUACUGGUCUUCCUUUCACUCAUUUAUUUGUUUUUAAUUGGUGCUGUAUAUAGAUACAUAAAGGUGGAAUUUAUGGUGAUAUGUUUAUAGGUGCAUAUAGAGUCAUUUUUCUCAAAUUUGUUCCUCAUUUCCUUCCCUUUCUUGUCUCUCCUUCCUCCCUCAUGUUAUCCUACUCCGCUGAUCUUCCCAGUAUCUUUAGGAUACUCUACCCCUGCCUGUGUUCCUUUGCUCUAGCUUCCACAUUGGAGGGAAACAUUCAACUCUUGAUUUUCUGAGUCUUAGCCAAAGCUUUGAUGUGUUCCAUAGCUCUCAAGCAGAACUCAGAAUUCUCCUGUCCUCUGAAGACCAUGGUUGUUUUAGAGACCUGUCAGGGAAACUGACAAGGUGAAGCUUUUCCUAGGAGGCUUCAUGGCCCCACUUAUAAAGACUAGUAUUUCAUAGAUUAAUAAUUUUGACAUCUAAGGCCUAAUACCAAAGGCUACUACUGUAUUAAAAUAGUUGUUAUGUCAUAUAUAUAAUCAAUAAAUAUAAAGUACUACUCUGGACCAUAAUUGACCUAUUUUUUGGUUUACUCAAUUAUGAAGUGGUGGCUACUCUAUAAUUUUUUAUAUUUAUCUUAUUUUUAAAAAAAUUUUUUCAGUUAGAGAUGGAUACACAAUAUCUUUAUUUGUAUGUGGUGCUGAGGAUCGAACCCUGUGCCCCACACAUGCCAGGCAAGUGCGCUACUGCUGAGCUACAGCCCCAGCUCAUAUAAUUUUUUAUACUUAUAAAUUAAAAAAUAAUUAAAUGCAUUUCUGCAUUCUUUCAAUGUAUUAUUACUGAUUCCUUAAUCUGCUGGGUAUCACUAUUUAAGUUACCUCACAAUGAAAUUCAAACUUCUAUCCUUCCUUAAGUGAAUUUAAUACUGAUCUAUAUAAGGAACUGUUAUCCGGUCAUGAACAUUGAAUGUGUUUUAAAAGUGCAACCCAGCCCAUAUCUUGGCUCAAACAUUUUUCAAGGUUAAACAGGUUGUUUGACCUUUCUGCAUUCACCUGUACAAUGUUUUAAGAAGCAGUUGCCUUGGAAAGGGCUAGAGGGGUCUCUGACCUGGUCUUGCUGUUUGGAGAAUCCUUUAUAUCAUACAAACAGGAUCCUCCAUUCAGAUCAAGGGAAAUGCUUCUCCACAUUUCUCCCCCAUACCCAUUGCCAUGGAAGUUUGGAGAUCAUGCCAUUACCAGUGUCAGAGACAGUACUUUGGAGCUGUGGGACAAAAAUGUUUAGGGGAGAAAACAUAAAUUAGCCCACCAAAUUCUUUGUUUGGUAGCAGGGAUACAAUAGGUUCUUAAAUAUUGAAAUGUUAUUUACCAGUAGUGCUAUGUGUCUACAUUCUUGGUUUUUCUCAUAGUUAUGAGCCAAAUUUUAUCUCCCCAAAUUCAUAUGUUGAAGCAUUAUCUCUCAUUGUGACUGUAUUUGGAGAUAAUGCUUAUAAGAAAGUCAUUAAGGUUAAAUGAGGUCAUAAUGGUGAGACCCUAAUCUGAUAGGAUUAUCCUUAUAAAAAGACACUGGACGACACAUUCUUACAUUCUCUCUCUCUCCACUCAGAUGAAAAGCCAUGUGAGGACAUAUUAUGAAGGUGGCCAUCUGCAAGGCAGGAAGAGAACCCUCACAAGACGCCAAACCCUUUGGAUCUUCAUCUAGAAGCUCUGUAGCCUUUGGUAUUUCAUUACAGAAGCCUGAGCUGACUUGUAUUCUGGCUCUGGAGUUGUAAUUUAAUGAGAUGUGCCCAAAGUUGGUGUCGAAUAGCAUUUUCAUUGUUAAAUAAUUCAUGUUAUUUUAAAAUUUACAUAUAUGUAGGUAUAGAUGAAACAUAUCAAACAUAGCAUUAAUCCUUUACAUUGGCAGCUAGAUGGAAAUCAAAUACUUGAUUGUGAAGGGUUUCAUUUUUAUAAAAAUGUUUAGUGAGAUGUAUUCUAUUUUCAAAAUUUAAAUUUAAAUUUCAGUUUGUACAUUUUCAUAUAAAAUUUAAAAUUGAUUAUUUUAUUUGGUUUUAAAAUUUUAAUAUAUUUUAGAAUAUUUUAGAGGUAAAAACAACAAACAUGAAAAGUAAUUUUAAAUUGUAAGUUGAACAUUCUUUUUCUAAAAUUCUUCAUAUCAGAAAUGCUUCAGAUUUGGGAUUUUUUUCAGAUUUUGGAAAUUUGCAUUUGCAUAAUAAGAUAUCUUGGGAAUGAAAUCCAACUUUAAGUGAGAAAUUUAUGUUUCAUAUACACUUUAUAUACAUGUCUGCAGGUAAUUUUAUACAGUAUAUUUAGUGUGCCUGCAUGAUCACAUGAUAUAUAACGUCAAUUGUGGAAUUUUCCACUUAGGUACCAUGUUGGCACUCAAGACAUUUCAGAUUUUGGGGCAUUUUGGGUUUCAGAUUUUCAGAUUGUGAUGCUUAAUUUAUAUUUACACUUAGAAUUUUUUUUUACCCUUGGAAACCAAUAUUUUAUUUCUUAAUUCUUUGGAACAGGACUCAGCAAACUUUUCUAUUAGUCAAUCCUGUCUGCCCUUUGUUUAUUUAAAGUUUUAUCAGGAUAUAUGACUGCCCAUAUUUUUAUGAAUUAUCUCUGAGUGCCUUUAUGUAACAACAUCAGAGGUGAUAAUUGCCCCAGACACUGGUUUGCCCUCAAAGCUAAAAAUAGUUACUGGCCUUUUAUAGAUCAAAUUCACUGAGCCUGCUUUAGAUCAUUAAGAAUGUGUUUAAUUUGAGCUCAGUGCAGCGGCAUACACCUGUAAUCCCAGCAACUUGGAAGGCUGAGACAGAAGGAUUGCAAGUUUGCAACUUAGAGAGACCCUAUCUCAAAAUAAAAAAGAAUUGGGGAGGUAGCUCAGUGGUUGAGCACCUCUGAGUUCAAUUCCUAGUACAAAAUAAAUUAAAAAAUAAUAAAUAAAUUUUAAAAAGGUAUUCAAUUUAAAAUCAUUAUAAAAAUAUAAAUAUGGAAGUGGAACUUAAAAAAUAAGUAAAAGCUAAGAAGCAAAAAGAAAUGUUCAAAUUAGUGCUUCAAAUUUAAAUAACUAGAAGCUGGGCAACUGAACAGACUUUUAGAGAACAACCCAUAUAAAACUUGCAAGCAGGACUUUACAGAUUGUUUUUUUUAAAAGAUUUGAUGAAAAGGAGCUAGGAAAUUAUUCUGAUCAAAGUCACAAGUAGAACAGAUCAGACAAAAUCCUCAAUGUCAAAUUUUUCAUCAAAUGAAGCAGUAACCACUGUUUAGAACAAUGAAAAUGAAAGGGGGAAAUCAUUCAUAUCAAAUUCAUAAUUCAGAGACAGCAAAUAUAAUUUUGGCCUGCUCAUUAGAAGUUGAAGAAAACUACAUUCAUAAAAUCUGAAAAUUGGACCAGAAAGCCAAAACUUCUGGAACUUUCUUCUGUUUAUUGGAUAAUGUUUCUGGAAAAUGGCUGUCAUAUCCUGACAUGAGCGAGACUAUUUCUAGCAAAACAUAAUUCCAUUCAAAUCAACAAUUACAAUUUUCCAUUGGCUAAACAUGGCAGAAAAUUUAUAUUUUAUUUUAAACUUCAAUUCUUUUAAAUUGUGAAACAAGCUAUUCCAUUCUAAGUUCAAAGACAGAGUUUCUUGUUACUGUUGUUACAUAUUUCUCAACCAAUGUUCGUGAUUAGUUUUGGCAAAUGAAGAUAUUUUUAACUGGAAACACAUUCUUGAUUAAAAGAACAAAAAAAUGUCAUGUGCACAAAAAAUUAGCGAAUACUAGGACUGAGAAAAAAAGACCGAGUGACAAAAAAAUUGAUGUUUUUCAAACAAGUAAAUACAGAACAAAAUAUAAAACAUUGUUAUAUAUAACAAAAUAUAAAAUAUUGUUUUAUAUAUAGAACAUUGAAAGAUGAUAUUUUGUGUUUCAUAUUUAGCAAAGCACAGUGAGGAUUAUUGGGGCACUAAUAUUUAUAGAAAAAUGAAAAACUUGUAGAUACAGCAAAAACAAUUUUCAAAUUUUUAAUAGAAUGGUUGAACAUGAUUGAAAAAUAGUGAAAAAUAUGACUUCUCUCUUGGAAAAUUCAAAUUUAAUCAUUACUUAUUCAAUAAUAAAAUGGGAGCACAAUUAAAAAAAUAUUCAGUUCAAUGAUUAGAAAAGUCAUAUUGAGAAGUACUCAAAUCAAAUUGUGGUUUUCAAUAGAAAAUGAAUUGUGCAUUUAAUUUUGAGUGUGUGUUAUUCAUAUUGCUUGCUACCAAUAAAGUCCUUAACAGAGUAUAAUGACCAUCCUUAAAAAAAGAAAUUUUGGCUACUUUAUUUUUAAAAAGAUUCAAAUAAUUAAAAAAAAUAAACUUAAGAUGAUUUUUGUAAGUUGCAAGAAAUUGCAUGUGAAAUAUGUAACAAAUGUGACUUUCAUUAAAAUAAAAGGAAAUUAAGUAUUAAAAAAUUUUUGACUAUGCAGGAAAAAGAUUCAUGCACAAAUAUUUCCAAAAGUUAAUUAAGAAUGACUAUUAUCUAGCCAUUGGAAAGCAAGUUACGGUUCAAAUGAAGAGAGAUGAGAACAAAUUGAGCAAGAUAUUCUUGUUUUUGGUUUUCUUUGUAAUAUUAAAAAUUGUAGAAAAAGGGAAUCUAAGAGAUACCAUAUGGCUGGCUGCAGAUAUUGCUUAAGAUACUUUGAAAAUCCAUAAAAGUGAUAGAGUUAUAAUUAAACUGUUCCAUAAUACUUUGGUGAUAAUACUUAUCACCAGCAUUCCCAAUAUAAUAUUUGAAUGUAGUUUCUUAAUUUCAUAUUUUGGAAUCUAAAUAUUGCUUCAAAGUGUUAUGGACAGUUUAAAAUGUUACUGACAGUUGUUAUUGCUGCACAGAGCAAAGUUUUUCCAAAUUAAAAUUAACCAAAAUCUAUUUAAAAACUUGAAGAAAUCAAUAUUCAAAUUUUUGAAUUUAAAAUACUCAAAUAUUUGAAAAUAUUCAAAGAAUAUCUGAUUUGUCUGCCACUGGAAUACAACUCUAUGGAAAUCUGGAUUGUAGCAGCAUAAGUAGUCAGUGCACGCAAAUUUUAUGAGAUAAACAUACAUUUUUAAAUCAAUUACAUUAUUUCUGUGUUUUAGUACUCAUACAUUGCUGGACCAUCAACAGAGCACCCAGAUAUGUACAAAAAAGUUGAAGUUCAGUUUUCUUUGAUAUUUUGUCAACCUUCAAUCAUACACUAACCAUAGCUUUCCACAUAUUUACAAACAUUGAAAUUAGAAAGAUGCAUUAGUUAAGGUAGGAGAAUAGAGUACAUUAAAUAUUUCAGUCUGUUGGCUAGCGUAAAAUGCCACCAUUUAGACACAGGUGCUUCUUUUUGUAACCUUGUUCCAGACUAUCUUGUAUGAGGGGUUGGCCUCCCUUCUUUGUGGGUUAUCUUGAGGAACAUGGGAUGAGAUAAAAUGACAAUAGGUGAAGCCAUGUGCCCAUGUCUUCUGUUUAGCUUUUUACUUUCCUAAUGCUGCAUUUCAAAUAGGUCUCUGGUUGCUGAUUCUAGGAAGUGGGGAUAUUGGUCUGCACUCCAAAUUUUUAGUAUCUUCUUCCUAAUUUGUUGCUGUCAAAAUAUUUUGCUUUAAAAUGGACCCAUGUGCAUGGGCUUACCCUGUUGAAAAUCCAAAAGAAAUUUGGGUUUGGCUUUUUCCCUUCUGCUUCCAGGGAGGAGAAAUGUUUUACCUUCUAGGGUGGAUCAGCCAUCCAGACCUAUCAAUUGAACGAUUGAUUGUAACAAAGGCUAGGCUAUUAUAUUUAAGCAGUUAUUACAUAUUUCAUAUGUCAAAGUUGUAAAAAAAUAACAAAGGCCUAUUAGCUUGAGUGUGGGAAACCAAAUCAUUUUUUUUUUUUAAUAUGGGAUAGAUUGUGUGAACUUGGACUUUUCAGUACAUGCAGUAAGCGGUAUUCCAUGGGAACUUUCCCAGCAUGUAUCCAGUAUUAUAGACAAAAAGUUAAAAUACUGCUAACACUCUCCCUGGUAUUCAUUAGCAUAGCAAAGAAGGCAGGAACUAACCACAUUUUAUAUAAAAGGACUUUAGAAAUCUGUGUCUGCUUGCAUUAGCAUGAUUCAAUCAGUGGGUGCCAACUCUAAGAGUAGAAAUGAUCUUUAUUUAUGGGCCUAUCACCAAAAUGUGUUCUUCAUUAAUUCAUAUUUUUCUCAGCCUCACAUUACUUCUUGAACCCAUCCAGGUGGUUUUUAAAUGCUCAGGGUAAUUUAAAACUGAGCAAAUUCAUGCUCACCCUCUUUUUCAGUGCUUAAGAAAAACUGAAUGAAAAUAUCCUUACCAUUCAUUUAAUAUUUUGCCAAUUUCUUUACCUUUAAUUAACCUGAAGAAUACAACAAAUGUGAGCUUGCUGAGCCUUUUGAGUUAAAAUCCACACCGAGAAGGAAAUAAACCUUGAAUGUCUUGCCAAAAGGUAUUUAGAAAUAUAUUUUGCACAAGAUUAAAGUUGAAAGUCCAAAGUAACUGUAUUUAUUCCAAUAAUACCAUUCAGUGAAACUUUGCUAUGUAGAACACUUCCUUAUAUAUGAAAUUCGUUAAAAUAGAAAAGACCUCAUCUAAAGGCUCAUAAAGUGAGGUUUCUUCCAUAUAAUAUUUUCCUGUAUGUAACGUUCAAAAGUGUAGUGCCCUGGAAAACAUUACAAAGGACUUUCCCUGCAGACCUAUGCUUGUUGUUAAAUUUAUUUUGGGUUGUUUUUCUGGUUGGCAUUUCAUAGUUCUUCACAGACUCAGGAUUCAGUCAGCAUAUAUGGAAUAGAAAAAAAAAAGCCUUAUUGUUUGCCUAUUAUUGUACUAUCAGUCAGAAGUACAGGAGAAAGUCUACUACUUUUCUGGGUGAAGGUCUUUGAGUCCAAAAUUUGCUCUGAUAAAACUUCAGUCAUGCCUUUCUAUCCCUGCCACCCAGUGAAAUGUAUUAAAUAUGCUGUUCUCUGAACUGAUGGUACCCUGGGAAAGAAGUUUCAUGAGAAACUCUUGCCUAUAAAUUAAGGUGACCGUCUCCAAUCUGGACAGAUAUGGUAUCUACCCAUCAUAGUUCUAUAGAGCAUUUAAUAGGUAAAGCCUCCAUUUAAACAAAGAUAAUUGAGUUGUGUUGCUAUAGAAAAAUUUAUCAAUAUCCACGAGGCUAGUGAAUGAUUUUGUUAGACAAUAAAAACAUUUUUCAACAUUGCCACAGGGCUCUCUAGUUCCCAGUAACUGAUGUCAAGUGUAUAGAUAAGUAUGUACAAUAAAGCUUGUGCAGAGAGAUAAUCUACCUUCUAUUAUUGUAUCAUUGUGUGCGUUUCAAAGCAAAUGUCCCUGAUCCCCAGCACUGCAAAUGUAAAUAACAUUUACCUGAUUUAUUCAUUUAUUUUAUCUCAAAAGUGUCUUCUCAUUCAUGAAUGGAUUCAUUUAUUCAAAGCUGCUUUUUGAGUGCUUACUAUUUGCAGGUGAUGGUAAACACUAGGCAUAAGAGCGACACUGUCUCCAUCCUGCACCUCCUCUGUUGCCCACCCUCAUCACCAUCCAUGGUAAGCCCU
Molecule: long non-coding RNA, 47405 nt
Filed under: Marmota monax (woodchuck)
Lineage: Eukaryota; Metazoa; Chordata; Mammalia; Rodentia; Sciuridae
Source: RNAcentral